This 80914-nucleotide long non-coding RNA is filed under the name Zea mays. RNAcentral describes it as "long non-coding RNA (ZMAY_LNC003133)". Lineage: Eukaryota; Viridiplantae; Streptophyta; Magnoliopsida; Poales; Poaceae. The record is from RNAcentral.
GGAGGGGCUACCUAGCAAGGUGGCGCAAGUUGAGGCGGCCGGGCUAAAUGAGGAUGAAAUGGCCCUCAUCAUCAAGCGCUUCAAGACGGCGCUCAAAGGUCGCAAGGAGCAUCCCAACAAGAGCAAGACGAAGGGAAAGCGCUCCUGCUUCAAGUGUGGUAAGAUUGGUCACUUUAUUGCUAACUGUCCCGAUAAUGAUAGUGACCAGGAACAAGGGAAGAAUGGGAAAAGAGAGAACAAGAAGAUUUACAAGAAGGCUAAGGGCGAGGCACACCUUGGAAAAGAGUGGGACUCGGAUUGUUCCUCAUCUGACUCCGACGACGAAGGACUCGCCGCCACGGCCUUCAACAAAUCGUCUCUCUUCCCCAACGAGCGUCACACCUGCCUAAUGGCAAAGGAGAAGAAGGUAAGCACUCGAAAUACUAGUACAUAUGCUUCUUCAAGUGAUGAUGAAUCUAGUGAUGAUGAAGUAGACUACGCAAGUUUAUUCAAAGGUUUAGAUAGAACUAAAAUUGAUAAGAUCAAUGAAUUAAUUGAUGCUUUGAAUGAGAAUAAUAGAUUGUUAGAAAAGCAAGAGGAUCUUUUAUAUGAAGAGCAUGAUAAAUUUGUAAAUGUGCAAAAGUCUCUUGCUUUAGAAGUUAAAAGAAAUGAAAUGCUUUCAUGUGAAUUAUCUACUUGUCAUGAGUCUAUUUCUAGUCUAAAGAGUAUCAAUGAUGACUUAAAUGCUAAGUUAGAAAUAACUAAUAAAUCAAGCUCAUGUAUUGAACAUAUAGUAAUUUGCAAUAGGUGUAAGGACUUUAAUGUUGAUGCUUGUGUUGAGCACGUUACUACUAUUGUGAAAUUAAAUGGUGAAGUGGCUAGUCUUAAUGCCCAACUUAAGACUAGCAAAAAUGACUUUGAUAAACUAAAAUUUGCAAGGGAUGCCUACACUAUUGGUAGACACCCCUCUAUUAAGGAUGGACUUGGCUUUCGAAGGGAAGCCAAGAACUUAACAAGUCAUAAGGCUCCCAUCUCUGCCAAGGAGAAAGGGAAGGCCCCUAUGGCUAAUAAUGGUCAAAAGAAUCAUGCUUUCAUUUAUAGUGAUAGAAAAUUCUCUAGAAAUGCUUAUAGGAACUAUGCUUAUGAUUCACAUGUGAUGACUGCUUCUAGUUCCUCUAUUGUGCAUGGUAGAAAUAUGCCUAGGAAAAAUGUUGUUCAUAUGUCUAGGAAAGUAAGUAAUGAACUGUCUACAAUUUACCAUACUUGUAAUGCUUCCUUUGCAAUUUAUAGUCUGAAUAAGAAAGUGAUUGCUAGGAAGUUGGGGGCCAAAUGCAAGGGAGAUAAGACUUGCAUUUGGGUCCCUAAGGCUAUUAUAACUAACCUUGUAGGACCCAACAAGAGUUGGGUACCUAAAACCCAAGCCUAAUUUGCUUUGCAGGUUUAUGCAUCCGGGGGCUCAAGCUGGAUUAUCGACAGCGGAUGCACAAACCACAUGACGGGGGAGAAGAAGAUGUUCUCCUCCUACGUCAAGAACAAAGAUCCCCAAGAUUCAAUCAUAUUCGGUGAUGGGAAUCAAGGCAAGGUUAAAGGACUAGGAAAGAUAGGUAUUUCAUCCAAGCAUUCCAUAUCUAAUGUGUUUCUAGUUGAGUCGCUCGGGUAUAACUUGUUGUCUGUUAGUCAAUUAUGUAAUAUGGGGUACAAUUGCUUAUUUACAAAUGUAGAUGUGUCUGUCUUUAGAAGGAGUGAUGGUUCAUUAGCUUUUAAGGGUGUACUAGACGGCAAACUCUAUUUAUUUGAUUUUUCAAAGGAGGAGGCCGAUCUAGAUGCAUGCUUAAUCGCUAAGACUAGCAUGGGCUGGCUGUGGCAUCGCCGUCUAGCACAUGUGGGGAUGAAGAACCUUCACAAACUUCUAAAGGGAGAACAUGUGUUAGGUCUAACAAAUGUAACUUUCGAAAAAGAUAGACCUUGUGCAGCUUGUCAAGCAGGUAAACAGGUGGGAAGUACUCAUAAUAGCAAAAAUGUGAUGACCACAUCAAGACCUUUGGAGCUACUUCAUAUGGAUCUCUUCGGACCCGUCGCCUACCUCAGCAUCGGGGGAAGUAAGUAUGGUCUUGUUAUAGUUGAUGAUUUUUCCCGCUUCACUUGGGUAUUCUUUUUGCAGGAAAAAACAAAAACCCAAGGGACCCUUAAGCGCUUCCUAAGGAGAGCUCAAAACGAAUUUGAGCUCAAGGUGAAGAAGAUAAGGAGCGACAACAGGUCCGAGUUCAAGAACCUUCAAGUGGAAGAGUACCUUGAGGAGGAAGGAAUCAAGCACGAGCUCUCCGCUCCCUACACACCACAGCAAAACGGUGUGGUACAGAGGAAGAACAGGACGCUUUUGGACAUGGCAAGGACGAUGCUUGAUGAAUUCAAGAUGCCCGAACGGUUUUGGACGGAAGCUGUGAACACGGCUUGCCACGCCAUAAACCGGGUCUACCUUCAUCGCCUCCUCAAGAAGUCGUCGUACGAACUCCUAACCGGUAACAAACCCAACGUGUCAUACUUUCGUGUAUUUGGGAGCAAAUGUUAUAUUCUAGUGAAGAAAGGUAGGAAUUCCAAAUUUGCUCCCAAAGUUGUAGAAGGGUUUUUGUUAGGUUAUGACUCAAAUACAAAGGCGUAUAGAGUCUUCAACAAAUCAUCGGGUUUGGUUGAAAUCUCUAGCAACGUUGUAUUUGAUGAGACUAAUGUCUCUCCAAGAGAACAAGUUGAUCUUGAUGAUAUAGAUGAAGAAGAUGUUCCAGCGGCCGCAAUACGCACCAUGGCGAUUGGAGAUGUGCGACCAUAGGAACAAAAGGAGCAAGAUCAACCUUUUUCCUUAACAAUGGUGCAUCCCCCAACUCAAACUGAUGAACAGGUUCAUCAAGAAGAGGCGUGUGAUCAAGGGGGAGCACAAGAUGAUCAUGCUUUGGAGGAAGAAGCACCACAUGCCCCUCCAACUCAAGUCCGAGCGACGAUUCAAAGGAAUCAUCUCGUCGACCAGAUAUUGGGUGAUAUAAGCAAGGAGUAACUACUCGCUCUAGAUUAGGUAAUUUUUGUGAGCAUUACUCUUUUGUCUCUUCUAUUGAGCCUUUCAGGGUAGAAGAGGCCUUGCUAGAUCCGGACUGGGUGUUGGCCAUGCAGGAAGAGCUUAAUAACUUCAAGCGAAAUGAAGUUUGGACACUGGUGCCACGUCCCAAGCAAAACGUUGUGGGAACCAAGUGGGUGUUUCGCAACAAACAAGACGAGCAUGGGGUGGUGACAAAGAACAAGGCUAGACUUGUGGCAAAAGGUUAUGCCCAAGUCGCAGGUUUGGACUUUGAGGAGACUUUUGCUCCUGUGGCUAGGCUAGAGUCUAUUCGCAUAUUGUUAGCCUAUGAUGCUCACCAUUCUUUCAGGUUGUUCCAAAUGGAUGUGAAGAGCGCUUUCCUCAACGGGCAAAUCAAGGAGGAGGUGUACAUAGAGCAACCCCUGGCUUUGAGGAUGAACGGUACCCAGACCACGUGUGUAAGCUCUCUAAGGCGCUCUAUGGACUUAAGCAAGCCCCAAGAGCAUGGUAUGAAUGCCUUAGAGACUUUCUAAUUGCUAAUGCUUUCAAGGUUGGGAAGGCCGAUCCAACUUUAUUCACUAAGACUUGUGAUGGUGACUUAUUUGUGUGCCAAAUUUAUGUCGAUGACAUAAUAUUUGGUUCUACUAACCAAAAGUCUUGUGAAGAGUUUAGCAAGGUGAUGACUCAAAAGUUUGAGAUGUCGAUGAUGGGCGAGUUGAACUACUUCCUUGGGUUCCAAGUGAAGCAACUCAAGGACGGCACUUUCAUCUCCCAAACGAAGUACACGCAAGAUUUGAUCAAGCGGUUUGGGAUGAAGGACGCCAAGCCCGCAAAGACUCCAAUGGGAACCGACGGGCACGUCGACCUCAACAAAGGAGGUAAGUCUGUUGAUCAAAAGGCAUACCGGUCUAUGAUAGGUUCUUUGCUUUACUUAUGUGCUAGUAGACCGGAUAUUAUGCUAAGCGUAUGCAUGUGUGCUAGAUUUCAAUCCGAUCCAAGGGAGUGUCACCUUGUGGCCGUUAAGCGAAUACUUAGAUAUUUAGUUGCUACGCCUUGCUUCGGGAUCUGGUAUCCAAAGGGGUCAACCUUCGACUUGAUUGGAUACAUAGACUCCGAUUAUGCUGGAUGCAAGGUUGAUAGGAAGAGUACAUCAGGGACGUGCUAAUUUCUAGGAAGGUCCCUGGUGUCGUGGAGUUCUAAGAAACAAACUUUCGUUGCCCUAUCCACCGCUGAGGCCGAGUAUGUUGCCGCAGGACAGUGUUGUGCGCAACUACUUUGGAUGAGGCAAACCCCCAGGGACUUUGGCUACAAUCUGAGCUAAGUCCCACUCCUAUGUGAUAAUGAGAGUGCUAUCCACAUGGCGGAUAAUCCUGUUGAACAUAGCCGCACUAAGCACAUAGACAUCCGGCAUCACUUUUUGAGAGACCACCAGCAAAAGGGAGAUAUCGAAGUGUUUUACGUUAGCACCGAGAACCAGCUAGCCGAUAUCUUUACCAAGCCUCUAGAUGAGUCAACCUUUUGCAGGUUGCGUAGUGAGCUAAAUGUCUUAGAUUCGCGUAACUUGGAUUGAUAUAUAGCAUACAUGUGUUUAUGCCCUUGAUCAUGUUCUUUUAUGCAUAUUGUUGCUUGUUUAUGGUGCUCAAGUUGUACACAUGAUCCCCGGACCUCACAAGUCCAUUCGCAAGUGAUGCACUUAUUUAGGGGGAGGCAUGCUACAACUUGACACUUUGAGACUAACCUGUGCUUGAGUUUACUUGUUCUAGUCUCAAAAGUGGAUUGAAAGGGAAAGGUGGACUUGGACCAUGAAAGACUUCCACUGCACUCCGAUGAGAGGGUAACUUACUCCAAGUUCAUCUCCGUGCUAUUAUUGCCUUUUUACUCCUAAUUGAGGAUUUUGGUGAGGCAAUGAGGUUAAAGGGGCCAAAAAUGAUCCCGUUUUGGUGCUUAAUGCCAAAGGGGGAGAAAUUAAGGCCAAAGCAAGAAUGGACCAGCUACCACUUGAGAAUUUUGAAAAUAGUAGAGUUAGAGUCUUUGUUUUGUCAAAAUUCUAUUGUCUCUUUUUGUCAAAAGUUGGUCUCUUGUGGGGAGAAUGGUUGAUUAUGGGAAAAAGGGGGAGUUUUUGAAUCCUUGAUCAAUUUCUCUUAGAAUAUCUCUCUUUAUGUCUCAACAAGUGUGUUUGACUUAAAGAUAGGAAAUUGAGUUUGAUUUGCAUUAAUGUUGCACUUCUAUGAGUUGCUUUGUGUUGUGUUGGCAUAAAUCACCAAAAAGGGGGAGAUUGAAAGGGAAAUGUGCCCUUGGGCCAUUUCUAAGGAUUUUGGUGAUUAGGUGUCCAACACAAAUGCCUUAAGUAUUAAUAAGUGUCAAAUGGUGGAUGAAGUGAAAAUCAACACAAAGGUAUGAUUCUAGACUUAGUACAUUGGUUUUUGUGUACUAACGUAUUUGUCUAAGUGCUAGAAUCAGAGAAAACACAAAAGGAAAAAGACUUGGCUGGAGCUGCCAAGACUUUGCGCAGUCUGGGUGCACCGGACUGUCCGGUGGUGCACCAGACAGUGUCCGGUGCGCCAUGCUGGCGUCUGGUGUGACGGAACCUCCCAAGUAAUUAGGCCCACCUACAGUUGUCCUUGCCUCACAGACAUCAGACAACCCUGUAGGUGCCCCUGAACUACUUGACAAGCUCGGUAUCUUUCCUUACCUUACCAGGAACGUCUCACCCAUCUUGUAGACAUUACAGAACAUCGGAGAUGAAGAAAUGCGGAAGCGAAUUACAUAAUCUUACAUUUAUUUCAAAAGCAAGCCUGAGUUAUGUUAUUACAGACCAGAUUAAAAGUGAGUGCAGAGUAGUAAUAUUAUACAAGCCAGGGGAGGCACAAACUCCUCCCGAUAAGUUUAAUAAACAAAAGAUCCUAAUUGGAGGACUGAGUCCUCCCGCACUUCAGUCUUCUUUUUCCUCAUUUGGUACCACCUUGGAGCAGAAGCAACAAAAGUUUGUCGCUUCCUCACCCAAAAACAACAAAGGGAUAAACCCUGAGUAUGGAAUACUCAGCAAGUCUUACCCGACUAAGGAAAAGACUCUCAAGGGUAUGCUGGAUAAAUAGGAGUCAAGGAGAGGCUUUAGCAAAAAUCAACUUAUACUUUUGCAGAAGUAGCUUACUAAAGUGAGUCCUUACUUUCAGUCUUUUAACGCCAUAUUAAGUAUUAAUAGACUCCAUUUGCAUCUAGUCUAAUUUCACAUCACAUCAAGGCAACAUCAUUUUUAUCCAUCGUUUUCACAUCCUGACUCUAGGUUGCAGGGAAGUGACCAAGUCUUCAUAACCGCGAAGGUACGGCGAUCCGAAUCGAUUAUACUCAGCUGAGGAUCUCCAAUCACACGACAUAUGUAGCACUUAACCCUUGCAUAUGUCAACCCGCCACCGGGGUUCUUAAGACCGGAUCAGGUUCACGCAAACCGAGAGCACAGAUACACCACCGUCCGGCCUCUUGCCACGGAGGGUACACGCUACUCUCGCCACCGCUCCACGCCCAUUUCGUGUUAUCUUAUUCCGGCCUUAGUCUGCCCGAGGCAAGGCUUACCCAUGACGAGGCAUGUGACCAGUUAAAGGGUCCUCGGUCAGCACGCCUACAUACGCGUUAAUCCUUAACCAACCUGGGUAGAACAUCACCUGUUCCUACCCCAAGUUUCAAUUUAAGUAUUUCCAUCCUUAGGAUUGUGUCUGUUCCUUAGGAUGAAAGAGCAUCACAGGGAACUUUGCAGUAAGAUCCCACCAUUGCUCCAAAUGAAAAUAUUCUUGCAGGUAGAAGCCAUCCUUUCUCGAGUUAAAUUAAGGACAACCUCUAUCCACAAGAUCUAAGCAAGGCUAAGCAUUUUUGUAAAUCAUAUUUUGAUACUUCACAGAAGUAUCUAUAAAGGUAUGGAUAUCAAGGAAAGCAAUGCAUCAAAGGGUUCCAAGCAACUCCUAUGAACCUAAUGCACAUUUCACUAGACUUAAAGUGUGCGAAAAGUAUUUUAAAAACACAAGGAAAGGGGUUGCAUGCACCGGGGCUUGCCUUCGUUCACAGGUGAAUCAGGCUCGGACCCGCAGACGUCGAAGUAGAGCCAAGUCCUUGCCCGAGAUUCCAAAGGUGGUGGUGUCUUCUUCAAUCACUUCACUCUCUUCUCCGUUUUCUAAAUAUAACCAUAUAGGUAUAUAUAUAAGAAUGAAUGCUAUGUAAUGUUUAUGAGAGUGCAAAGAUAAUAAAAAUUUAUUAACUAAGUCUUGAGUACAACUUUCCUUCACGGAGUUCCGGGAACUUAGGGUUUCCGGAGUCGGUAAAGGAGUUCAUAGGGCAGGGGGGGUGUUUUGGGUUUGGUGAUCAAACAAGGUCCAAAACAAUUCAAACUCUACCCAAGUCUUCUAAAUAUUAUGAGGAACUCAUAUAAAAAUUUUGAGCAUUUUUGGAAUUACCAUUUGUUUUCUAAAAAUCCAGAAUCAAUAGUUUAGGUUAUUUUAAAUACCCUAAAAUUCCUUGUUCAAACUAAAAAUCAUAAAACUAUUUUUAUUAAGUACUAUGGAAAAUAACAAGCCUAGGAAAAUUAGUCUCAUAUUUUUAGGAUUUUUCUAUAAUUUUCUACAGAUUUCUAGAGUUCUGCUGUAAAAGAAAAAAGGAAAACGAUAAAACAGUACUGGGCCGAUUCUGGCCCAACAAGCCCAGGUUCAGGGAGAACAGUGCUCGCGCCCGCGCGCGCGCGCCCGCGCCCAGGCAAUUUUGCAGAAAGGGCCUCGCGCUUCUGGCUAAACAGAACUAGGUCCCUUUACUAUUGUUUUGAGUCACUGACGGUUCACGGAAAGGUCCCCGGGUUCUUGUCAAUUCACAACUCGCAGUCCCCGACGGCGCUCAAGCACGGCCGCGCUCCGGCAAGCAACUACGCCGGCCGAUUGAGGCUAAGACUGGUGCUAAUCUUCGGCUGAGCCCAAAUUCGAGUUCCUAUGAACGUUUUCCUCAACUAAAUUACACUAUCGGUGGACUAGGGAGUUCCGGCCACGGUGGCCGUAAGCAAAAUGGGGACAUGAUCAUGUUCCCGGCGACCCAGGGCGGUCUAGUUCGAUUCAAUGCUUCGGUAAGCAUCAAGAGGACACAAAGAUGUUGAAACAAGAGAACCGAGGGUGAGAUCGGACCUGAAACGGGCUGUCCACGGCGAGCUCGAUUCACGGCGGCGGAAAAUGGAUUUGGGGGAAACGAGAAAUUCAAGUGCGCGGGUGGAUGAUUGUGGCCGAUUAGCGGUGGCUGGAUGCGUAAGGAUGUGGUGAAGCUCACGGCGGGGUCAAUUUAUAGAGCUCCGAAGCGGUGGCACUUAAUUUGAUCGCGAUGCGUCGACGGCCGGAGAGGAGGAAGAAGCACUGGCUUCGCGGGUACGUGGCCAACGACGUGGCAGUAACUCCGGUGAGCCACGGAGGGUUCAGAGAAGGUCAUGGCGACACGGUUAAAGUGUAGAGCCACGCGGCACCCGGCCGAGAGGCGGCGGUCGACGGCGAGUACUUACCGCCAGCCGCAAAGUCGAAGGAAGACAGGGGGGGUUCAUCGGAGUGGUGGCCAGCUCACUGGUGACGAGGACCUUACCGCGACAGACUUAUCUAGUGACCGCCGAGCACGAAUCACAGCGACGACGAUCGACGGCGACGGCUACCGGCGACGGGCACGGGAAAGAUCUUCUUCAGGUUUAACGGUUACUGUACCAUGGCCAUAGUUCAUCAGUGCACCUGACCGAGCGAGUUGAGAGCCAUUUUUCUCCAGAUUUCAUGUGACGACAGGUCCAAGUCUCUGCACCAAAGUUGUAGUGCUACAUACCAGCUACAACUCAACUAUAGGACUUGAUCACAUUUGAGCACUGGAUCCAAAUCAAAAUCAAGCUCAAAGUUCACCCCAUAGCACUGCAACUCUGAAAUUCAGCUCCAAACAGUCUGACAGCCAGUUUUGGACUGGGUUUUCUCCAAAUUCUUCAUAACAACUAUGCUUACAACCUUAAGCAAAGUAGUUCUCCUAUAAUUGGUCUUCAACUUUGAUGUGGUGACCUAGGGCAAACACCCUAUGCUUUGUAAGUUACAAAGCCCUAAAGUGGAGCCUUUAACACUGAAUUUCACACUUAGUGUAGAACUCAAAUGAGGUCCAUUUUGCACUUAAGUCCAAAUCUCAGGGUUUGGCUUGUAAAUUCACAUAUUUGUGAACCAAUUGUCUUUAGAUGCUUAAACAUAGUAGUUUUUACAUUUUAGUCCAAAGGUUCAUCACUUUUGCACAUAAGCCCCUAGGGUUUGGUUUAGGGUUUUCCAGGGUUCCAAUUAGGGUUUCUGGCAUCCCAGGGGUAUAAAUGUGAUUCAAGUUUAUUUUUGGGGUCAUUUUAUGGCUUUUACCCUAAAAUCUUUAGGUUUUCUUAACUUGGGUUAAAUUCUACCCCUUUAACCACUAUUUAGGGUUAAGUCCAUUAAACAGGGUUUCAUUUGCAAAAACAUUAAAACAACACAACUUGUUUGAAAUUUUUGCCUAGUGAAUGCACUCUAGGUGUGUCAAACAUAUGCAAUGCUAAUGCUUAUGAUGUCAUGCUCAAGUUUUAGUUAUAGUAACACCAGGGGUGUUACAUCCUUCCCCCCAUAAAAGAAUCUCGUCCCGAGAUUAAAAAUCCUAGGGUAAGUAAUGGUAAAGGAAACGCAUCACAUUUUUAUUUCCUUAUUUUUGGUACAAGACAGGGGUGAUGUGGGGGUUACUUCUUUAUUACAACAGCUAUACAGGCUUUACAAUUUACAUGGGGCUAGAAAGCCUGGGAAAUUCUUAUUCAAGAAGUCUUGAGUUUCCCAUGUAGCUUCAUCUUCAGAAUGCUGGUUCCACCGUAUCUUGUAGAACUUGAGAGUCUUUCUUCGGGUGAUCCUGUCCUUUUGAUCCAGAACUCGAAUAGGAUGUUCCGAGUAUGUUAAAUCUGGUUCCAGGACAACAUCAGUCACUUCAAUGGUUCGAUCAGGAACCCGAAGACACUUCUUCAAUUGUGACACGUGGAACACGUUAUGCACAGCAGACAAUGUUUCGGGUAGUUGGAGUCGGUAUGCCACUGGUCCGCAUUGCUUAAUCACCAGGAAUGGACCAAUGUACCUGGGUGCAAGUUUCCCUUUAACCCCGAAACGCAAUACACCCUUCAUUGGUGAAACUUUUAAGUAGACAUAAUCGUCUACCAGAAAGCAUAAGGGUUGUCGUCGUCGGUCUGCAUAACUCUUUUGUCGAGUCUGAGCUUUCUUCAUAUUAUGAAUAAUUUUCUGAACCUUUUCUUCGACCUCUUUCACCAUAUCAGGCCUAAAGAAGUAUCUUUCUCCAGGUUCAGACCAAUUUAGCGGAGUACGACAUCGUCGUCCAUAUAAAGCUUUAAAGGGUGCUAUCUUGAUACUUUCUUGAUAGCUAUUAUUAUAUGAAAACUCCGCUAAGGGCAAACAUUCAUCUCAUUUCUGUGGGAAGUCCAGAACACAUGCCCGCAGCAUAUCUUCCAGUAUUUGAUUGACCCUCUCAGUCUGCCCACUGGUUUGAGGAUGAUAAGCCGAACUGUGGAGCAAAUUAGUACCCAGGGAUUUAUAAAGUUCUUCCCAGAAUUUGGAUACGAAUUGCGAUCCAUGAUCCGACACUAUAGUCUUCGGAACACCAUGCGGACUAAGAGUGCGAGCAAUGUAUAAUUGGGCAUAGACAGUAACCGGGUGAUCGGUCUUGACUGGCAGAAAAUGAGAAAUUUUCGUAAGCCGAUCAACAAUAACCCAGAUAGAGUCAUACCCCUUUUGUAGUCCUGGGUAAUCCCACGAUGAAGUCCAUAUAAUAUCUUCCCCUUUCCAUGUUGGGACAGGUAAGGAUUGUAAUGGACCAGCAGUCUUCAUGUAUAUGGCCUUGACAUGUUUACAAGUGUCACAUCUAGCCACGUAGUGUGCAAUUUCAAUUUGCAUCUUUGCCCACCAGAAGAACACAUAAGGUUCCAUGUGUGCAACUUGCUUCUUCUGAUGACACUGUACUAUCUGAGUCUGUUGGGUGGCAAUUAUGCAACUUUACCCAAAUAGAAUCAGAUGCACCAUCUUGGGUAAAACACACAAGAAGAGGUUUACCAACAAGUGGUUACAGUAAGUUCAUAGCACACGAGACGAGUGUGAAUGUCGAGUAACAUCAUGGUCUACUCGUGUUAGCCAGGGAAUCCAAAUUCACGAAAGGUGAUAUUGAUUCAAGAAAAAUCACCAGUGGAGGGAUCUAAAAAUGCGGACUUUGCAACUAGUCCAUUUUAUCGGGCACUAGACAUGGCUCGACCCAAUCACUUAUGCUGGAAAAGCAUACAUGAGGCAAUCGAGGCACGACUAGAGCGAUGGAUAGGUGGUUAUUGACCGACUUAAUCUCGAUUCUGGAAAAUUCUUCCUUAAGAGGGGUUGUACAAAAGUGAGCUUAGAUAACUCGAUAAAACGAUCUCUAAACUCAACCUUCGUUCACCAGGCAGUUACACGUUAGUGAAACCAACUUGUUGAACUACUUUUGACAUUGAGCAAGUCCUCUCAGUACCAUCGGUAAGCCAAGGGUUGAGAGUUCACAUUUGCAAGCCAAAGGUCAUGCAUUUGGAUAGAAAUCCAUUUGGUCAGGUUGUUCAUUCGUUUCUUCAAGCGAGAUGAAUUAUCCACUUGGUUAGGGAAUACAUAGAUUAAUUAGGAAAGCGAAUGAACAAACUCCUGCAUUUCAGCAGCAGGGGAAAGUCAAUCUCCAAUUUGAGAGCUAAUUAGUUGUUUUCUUACACUAAAAAGCUCCAAGGCUUCACCUUUACACAAAGGAUGCAAAGGGAACUUGUGUGAGUAGUCACUACCAAGAUCAAAAGAAAUAAGACCACACAUGAAAGUGGUAUGCCCUUUUGAUCCAAUGGAAAUGACAGAUGUUGCUUGAUCUCUUCAAGACAACAUAGAGAGUGUUUCAAGGAAAGGUCAAUGGAAGACAACACAUCAGUGUAAUUCCAUAAUGGAUCAUGACUAGAGACCUCGAUACCGACAUGCGCCAAGCAGCAAAAUCCUGGGUGCACAUUCAUAGGAGGCUCUCAGCUUCGCCGCGGUACCAUAAGUUCUUAACCAUGUCACCAAUAGAUUGAGCAAGGGUGAUUAUACACAACGAAAUACUCCACUAAUAAAGAUGGUUACAAGUAGAGAGCCAAAUAGAUCAUGGCCCAAGGCAUGGCCAUAAUCUAAACUUGAUAGAAGGAGUACGAUGGGAGACUGUUAAUUCAGCCCAAUCAUAUUUCUAUGCCCAUCGCAGAGAUCACAAGGUCAAGGCUUAAGUUGGUAUGCCUUCGAUAGAUAUGAAGAAACCAAAGGCAUCAAAUUCAAGGAAAUGGUCGGACAUGUCUUUCCUAGGUUGGGUUAAUAAAGUAACCUGACGAUCCACAAGGAGAGGCCAACUAUACUAGAGACUUCAACCUGCAUCAGCUGAUCAAGAGAAUGGCUCUAAAAGGAGGCACGACUUGAGAUCCUUGUUUGAAGUCUAGGUAUACUCUAGGUCCGACAAAGAAAUUAUCUAGGCAUUUACUUGUACGGGUGUGGUCAUGAAAUGAUAACGGAAAAUUCGACUUUGGGUCGGGUCAUGGUUCACUAAAGCCUAAUUCUUGGGUUUAGGCAACCAAGUCAUCAACUCUCUAUUGGUCAUAACUCAACCUGAUGGUUCUCGGAUCAAGGUUGAGAAUUGCUUUUUGCUGGGCUAACCAGUUCAUGCCCAAGAUGACAUCCAUGUCUUGGCUUUUCAGAACAAUCAUAUUAGUAGGAAAGUCCUGUCUGGCCAAUGUUAAGGGCACCUGAUAAGCCACUUCUUUUCACUUUUGGUAGCUUUACUGUCGGGCGUAGAAGACCAUUCGUCAACCAACUUCAUAGAGGGAGGGGGCCUGAAAAGGUCCGGUUCACCAUCACGUGCUUCUCCCGCUACAUGAGAAGGUCCGGCUUCUGUCCCGACAAGAUUCACAGGGACGUUCGGGUGCAGUUGUGAAUACAACACAUGCACUUCUUCAUGUAGUGCAUUACAACAGACCUGCAAGUUAUCCAUGGCUAAGCUAAGCUCCUCCACACGGGCUCGAGCUUUGGCUUCCUUAGCCCAGACGAGUAAACGAGAGUUAACCACCCAAUCGAGUGCUAAAUCUCGUUUCGCGAGUUGGUCUUGCAAGUAGCGGAUGGCUGCAUCCGCGAUCCAUAGAUCAUUCUUGUGACGGAGUUCUGACUGAAGCAGUUCGACUUGUGCUUCCAGAUCCCGAUAGGAUCGUUGCUACCACUGCUACUUUCUUCAUGUCUUGGAGUAAGUUAAUGGCAGGGUACGCCAAUGGGUCUAGUAGAUUUGCGCGCGGUCUUUCUGAUGCGCGACAACAUUUCUCUAAGGGGGAAACUUUAUUAAUAUAGUGCUUAGCAUGAUGCAUGUGUAAGUACAGAAUCAACCUUAGUCGAUUCAACCUUCUAUACAUUGCACUCUUCCUAUCUGGUCUUUAAGAUAGACUUCUUUAGAAUACUUAGGUAAGAAGAGAAAAGAAUUCUUAGGUAAGACUUUCAAAAAUUCUUUUGAAGAUGCCUCAUAAUAUCUGCCAAGAAGGGCUACGCUCCGAUACCAGCUGUGACGGAACCUCCCAAGUAAUUAGGCCCACCUACAGUUGUCCUUGCCUCACAGACAUCAGACAACCCUGUAGGUGCCCCUGAACUACUUGACAAGCUCGGUAUCUUUCCUUACCUUACCAGGAACGUCUCACCCAUCUUGUAGACAUUACAGAACAUCGGAGAUGAAGAAAUGCGGAAGCGAAUUACAUAAUCUUACAUUUAUUUCAAAAGCAAGCCUGAGUUAUGUUAUUACAGACCAGAUUAAAAGUGAGUGCAGAGUAGUAAUAUUAUACAAGCCAGGGGAGGCACAAACUCCUCCCGAUAAGUUUAAUAAACAAAAGAUCCUAAUUGGAGGACUGAGUCCUCCCGCACUUCAGUCUUCUUUUUCCUCAUUUGGUACCACCUUGGAGCAGAAGCAACAAAAGUUUGUCGCUUCCUCACCCAAAAACAACAAAGGGAUAAACCCUGAGUAUGGAAUACUCAGCAAGUCUUACCCGACUAAGGAAAAGACUCUCAAGGGUAUGCUGGAUAAAUAGGAGUCAAGGAGAGGCUUUAGCAAAAAUCAACUUAUACUUUUGCAGAAGUAGCUUACUAAAGUGAGUCCUUACUUUCAGUCUUUUAACGCCAUAUUAAGUAUUAAUAGACUCCAUUUGCAUCUAGUCUAAUUUCACAUCACAUCAAGGCAACAUCAUUUUUAUCCAUCGUUUUCACAUCCUGACUCUAGGUUGCAGGGAAGUGACCAAGUCUUCAUAACCGCGAAGGUACGGCGAUCCGAAUCGAUUAUACUCAGCUGAGCUCUCCAAUCACACGACAUAUGUAGCACUUAACCCUUGCAUAUGUCAACCCGCCACCGGGGUUCUUAAGACCGGAUCAGGUUCACGCAAACCGAGAGCACAGAUACACCACCGUCCGGCCUCUUGCCACGGAGGGUACACGCUACUCUCGCCACCGCUCCACGCCCAUUUCGUGUUAUCUUAUUCCGGCCUUAGUCUGCCCGAGGCAAGGCUUACCAUGACGAGGCAUGUGACCAGUUAAAGGGUCCUCGGUCAGCACGCCUACAUACGCGUUAAUCCUUAACCAACCUGGGUAGAACAUCACCUGUUCCUACCCCAAGUUUCAAUUUAAGUAUUUCCAUCCUUAGGAUUGUGUCUGUUCCUUAGGAUGAAAGAGCAUCACAGGGAACUUUGCAGUAAGAUCCCACCAUUGCUCCAAAUGAAAAUAUUCUUGCAGGUAGAAGCCAUCCUUUCUCGAGUUAAAUUAAGGACAACCUCUAUCCACAAGAUCUAAGCAAGGCUAAGCAUUUUUGUAAAUCAUAUUUUGAUACUUCACAGAAGUAUCUAUAAAGGUAUGGAUAUCAAGGAAAGCAAUGCAUCAAAGGGUUCCAAGCAACUCCUAUGAACCUAAUGCACAUUUCACUAGACUUAAAGUGUGCGAAAAGUAUUUUAAAAACACAAGGAAAGGGGUUGCAUGCACCGGGGCUUGCCUUCGUUCACAGGUGAAUCAGGCUCGGACCCGCAGACGUCGAAGUAGAGCCAAGUCCUUGCCCGAGAUUCCAAAGGUGGUGGUGUCUUCUUCAAUCACUUCACUCUCUUCUCCGUUUUCUAAAUAUAACCAUAUAGGUAUAUAUAUAAGAAUGAAUGCUAUGUAAUGCUUAUGAGAGUGCAAAGAUAAUAAAAAUUUAUUAACUAAGUCUUGAGUACAACUUUCCUUCAUGGAGUUCCGGGAACUUAGGGUUUCCGGAGUCGGUAAAGGAGUUCAUAGGGCAGGGGGGGUGUUUUGGGUUUGGUGAUCAAACAAGGUCCAAAACAAUUCAAACUCUACCCAAGUCUUCUAAAUAUUAUGAGGAACUCAUAUAAAAAUUUUGAGCAUUUUUGGAAUUACCAUUUGUUUUCUAAAAAUCCAGAAUCAAUAGUUUAGGUUAUUUUAAAUACCCUAAAAUUCCUUAUUCAAACUAAAAAUCAUAAAACUAUUUUUAUUAAGUACUAUGGAAAAUAACAAGCCUAGGAAAAUUAGUCUCAUAUUUUUAGGAUUUUUCUAUAAUUUUCUACAGAUUUCUAGAGUUCUGUUGUAAAAGAAAAAAGGAAAAGGAUAAAACAGUACUGGGCCGAUUCUGGCCCAACAAGCCCAGGUUCAGGGAGAACAGUGCUCGCGCCCGCGCCCAGGCAAUUUUGCAGAAAGGGCCUCGCGCUUCUGGCUAAACAGAACUAGGUCCCUUUACUAUUGUUUUGAGUCACUGACGGUUCACGAAAAGGUCCCCGGGUUCUUGUCAAUUCACAACUCGCAGUCCCCGACGGCGCUCAAGCACGGCCGCGCUCCGGCGAGCAACUACGCCGGCCGGUUGAGGCUAAGACUGGUGCUAAUCUUCGGCUGAGCCCAAAUUCGAGUUCCUAUGAACGUUUUCCUCAACUAAAUUACACUAUCGGUGGACUAGGGAGUUCCGGCCACGGUGGCCGUAAGCAAAAUGGGGACAUGAUCAUGUUCCCGGCGACCCAGGGCGGUCUAGUUUGAUUCAAUGCUUCGGUAAGCAUCAAGAGGACACAAAGAUGUUGAAACAAGAGAACCGAGGGUGAGAUCGGACCUGAAACGGGCUGUCCACGGCGAGCUCGAUUCACGGCGGCGGAAAAUGGAUUUGGGGGAAACGAGAAAUUCAAGUGCGCGGGUGGAUGAUUGUGGCCGAUUAGCGGUGGUUGGAUGCGUAAGGAUGUGGUGAAGCUCACGGCGGGGUCAAUUUAUAGAGCUCCGAAGCGGUGGCACUUAAUUUGAUCGCGAUGCGUCGACGGCCGGAGAGGAGGAAGAAGCACUGGCUUCGCGGGUACGUGGCCAACGACGUGGCAGUAACUCCGGUGAGCCACGGAGGGUUCAGAGAAGGUCAUGGCGACACGGUUAAAGUGUAGAGCCACGCGGCACCCGGCCGAGAGGCGGCGGUCGACGGCGAGUACUUACCGCCAGCCGCAAAGUCGAAGGAAGACAGGGGGGGUUCGUCGGAGUGGUGGCCAGCUCACUGGUGACGAGGACCUUACCGCGACAGACUUAUCUAGUGACCGCCGAGCACGAAUCACAGCGACGACGAUCGACGGCGACGGCUACCGGCGACGGGCACGGGAAAGAUCUUCUUCAGGUUUAACGGUUACUGUACCAUGGCCAUAGUUCAUCAGUGCACCUGACCGAGCGAGUUGAGAGCCAUUUUUCUCCAGAUUUCAUGUGACGACAGGUCCAAGUCUCUGCACCAAAGUUGUAGUGCUACAUACCAGCUACAACUCAACUAUAGGACUUGAUCACAUUUGAGCACUGGAUCCAAAUCAAAAUCAAGCUCAAAGUUCACCCCAUAGCACUGCAACUCUGAAAUUCAGCUCCAAACAGUCUGACAGCCAGUUUUGGACUGGGUUUUUCUCCAAAUUCUUCAUAACAACUAUGCUUACAACCUUAAGCAAAGUUGUUCUCCUAUAAUUGGUCUUCAACUUUGAUGUGGUGACCUAGGGCAAAAACCCUAUGCUUUGUAAGUUACAAAGCCCUAAAGUGGAGCCUUUAACACUGAAUUUCAGACUUAGUGUAGAACUCAAAUGAGGUCCAUUUUGCACUUAAGUCCAAAUCUCAGGGUUUGGCUUGUAAAUUCACAUAUUUGUGAACCAAUUGGCUUUAGAUGCUUAAACAUAGUAGUUUUUACAUUUUAGUCCAAAGGUUCAUCACUUUUGCACAUAAGCCCCUAGGGUUUGGUUUAGGGUUUUCCAGGGUUCCAAUUAGGGUUUCUGGCAUCCCAGGGGUAUAAAUGUGAUUCAAGUUUAUUUUUGGGGUCAUUUUAUGGCUUUUACCCUAAAAUCUUUAGGUUUUCUUAACUUGGGUUAAAUUCUACCCCUUUAACCACUAUUUAGGGUUAAGUCCAUUAAACAGGGUUUCAUUUGCAAAAACAUUAAAGCAACACAACUUGUUUGAAAUUUUUGCCUAGUGAAUGCACUCUAGGUGUGUCAAACAUAUGCAAUGCUAAUGCUUAUGAUGUCAUGCUCAAGUUUUAGUUAUAGUAACACCAGGGGUGUUACAUCUGGUCAACUGGCCGCUCUCAGGAAUUCGCCGGCGGCGUACGGCUAAAAUUCACCGGACUGUCCGGUGGUGCACCGGACAGUCCGGUGAGCCAACGGUCGGCCUCGCAAUCCGCGCGUGACGCGUGGCCGAGCCAACGGUCUGAUGGGGGCACCGAACUAUCUGGUGUGCACCGGACAGUGUCCGGUGCGCCAACGGCUCCAAAUCUUCAACGGUCCGUUGCGCCAAAUUAGGAAAGCAAUCUGCACCGGACAGUGAAUAGUUCCUGUCCGGUGCGCCACCCGACAGAAGGCAAGAAUUGCCUUCCUGGAUUGCUCUCAACGACUCCUAGCUUCCUUAGGGCUAUAAAAGGGACCCCUAGGCGCAUGGAGGAGAAAACCAAGCAUUCUCUGAUCAUCUCUAAGCACCAAGACUUCAUUCUAGCGCAUUUGAUUCUUUGUGAUAGCGAUUUGAGCUCCUCUUGAGUUAAGAACUCCGUGUGUGAACUUAGAGCUCAAGUUGCGACUAGUGUGCGUGUUUGUGCUGUUGCUUGUGAGACUUGUGUGUGUUGCUUUUCCCUUCCUUACAUCCUUGCUUCUUUGAGAUCAUCAUUUGUAAGGGCGAGAGGCUCCAAGUUGUGGAGAUUCCUCGCAAACGGGAUAUAGUGAAAGAAAGAAAAACACUGUGAUAUUCAAGUGGAUCCUUGGAUCACUUGAAAGGGGUUGAGUGCAACCCUCGUCCAUUGGGACGCCACAACGUGGAGGAGGCAAGUGUUGUACUUGGCAGAACCACGGGAUAAAUCAUCGAGUCUUUUGUGCUUGUUCUCACUGUGACUAUUGUGUUUCGCAAGAGCUCGGUCCUUAGCCACUUGAUUUCAUUGUGCUAACACUUAAUCAAGUUUUGUGGCUUUAAGUUUUAAGUUUUUACAGGAUCACCUAUUCACCCCCCCUCUAGGUGCUAUCACAGACCCCUAUAAUCUUGCAGAUUUAGCCCUGGACUUUUAAAUAUUCACAGAAUUAGCCCUAAUUUCAUAUUUUGAAUUCCCAAACUUGUUUAUUUUAUAACUUUUCCAUAUGAACUCCAAAUUUAGUGAUUCAAAUUGCAAAAUGUUCAUAGAAUUAUUCUCUGUUUAAAUAAAAUGGUUUCACUUACUGUCUGCACACACUAAUUUUUAGGAUUGAAUAUGAACUAAUGUAGAUGUAUUUUUAUUUAUUUAAUAAAAUAAAUAAAAGGAGAACCUUAGAGAUUUAAACAUGUGUAAGCUUGUGGGAUUAAUAAUGUGUAUUACAUGAGUUUAUCUCUGUUCUAAAUUUUAGGUCACAAUAAAAUAAGUUGACCUAUGUUUAUGUACUUGCAAGUAACACUUAGGGAAAUAAUAAUCUAUUUUCAAAUAAAGUUAAAGUAUGUUAUAGUUUAUGUUAUACUUUGAAUUCAUUAUCCCUUAUGUAGUAUUAUGUCUUUUAAGAUGUGUUCCAAUGUUUGUACAUGUUUGGUGUGAUGUUCAUUUGUACUUUCCAAAUGUAUUGAAUGCAUGCUCGCUUUAUCUAAACAACGAGCAGUCCGAGGUUCUUGAGUGCAUUGUUGGAGACCUCCCUGAGCAACCACCUAGUGAAGGCAAGUGUCCUCUGACCCAUUAUGUCCUACAUACUUUAUGAUUCACUGUCCCGUAUUACUUUAUGAAACCUAAGGAUUGACUAGUCUGUAUUCACUUAUCCUUGUUUACCUUUUUGGGUUAUCAUGGUUAGCAUGUUGCUAUUGCCUUAACUUAAUCAAUGAACAUGAUGUGAAUAUUUAUGAUACGAUACUGUUAUCCUAAUUAUGUGGAUGAUCUUGUGAUACCUUAGGGGGCCCAGGCCUUUUUCCUGAGUACCUCUCCGUAAGGACCUGUUCGUGGAGUGACCAUCCAGGAUACAGUACAACCAUGAGGGUGGAAUGGGACGCCCUUAGCUGAUUAAUUAGAUGAACCUAGGGGUGUAGUUAGCUUUGCCGGAGGGCCGUAAAUGGGAGCCGGGGCGUAGUGCUCGCUCUGCCAAGGUUGGGGUGCAGAGGUUCUUUCGAUUUGGUUUUGUUAGUCACUCACCUUGGGGAGGUGUACUGCGUUUGUACGACUGGCGAAACCUAACGAGCAGCUAUGCACUAGGGGAGUCUUUGUAAAGGCUACGUAGUGUAUCCCUGGCCAUUCACCUUGGUAGUGAAGAUCGGGUCUGUACAACCCAGGCUGGAAAGGGAUCAUGACUUGUGGGUAAAGUGUACAACCUCUGCAGAGAGUUAAAAACUAGUAUAUCAGCCGAGCUCACGGUUAAGAGCAGCCUUGGUAUCCUCUUUGAUUAGAAUAACUUUGGAUACUAUUAUGUUGAUGAUUAAUAAUGUUGUUAUAAAAUCUGAUCUCUAGUAUUUCCUCUUUUGAGGAGGUACUUCUGGGUAAUAACUGAGUUUAUUAUUAAAACCUGGCUCUACUAAUGUCGGUGUUUUGGGUCCGACCGCACACCCGGGGUUGCCCCUCAAGGUGUUUUUAGGAGUAGGACGGUGUCGCCGACUGUAGCUAAAUGGUUCGUGCCGGAUGCACGAAGAACAAUAGACAGUGUUUACAGGUUCGGGCCGCUUUGAGAUGCGUAACACCCUACGUCCUGGUGAGAAUGCUUUAUGUGGUGGAUUACAAGGGAGCUCUCUAACGCUAGAGCGUAGAGAGUUUGGGUGGAUGGCCGAGUAGUGAGAUAGAUCGUUCUGAAGGGGUACCCUCUAGGCCUUAUAUAUUCGACCGUGAGGCAAUACAUGCGGAUAUGAUAACAAUGCGCACCUAAGAGAUAGUGAACUGAUUGAGUCUAUCUUCCUAUAGUUCUGCCGACUCAUCCUCGCUUGGUUCCGUUGUACGGGGCUCCAGCGCGGGAAAGUCGGGUCUCUGCUGUGGUUACUUGCUCGUCGUUGUUGGGCCGUCUGGGCUCGCACCGAUCCGGCCUUGUGUCGAUCUGCUUCACUGGUCGUUUCUUCCCCAGGCCCACGAAGGGAUGACCUUACGAAUUAUUGGGCCCUCGGGCCUUUCGUGAGGUCUUUUAUCCUUCCAGUGGACCCGGGGGAUAUCUAUCCCCCACAAGCCCCCGAUCCUUGGGUUGAUUUUGGAAUAAUCGGCCCAAAGAUCCUAGGUCCAGCUUGCGGUUUUUGUUUAUGAUAGGAAAUGCUUCCCGGGUAGUCUGGUAAAAACGAUUUCUUACUGUCUCCUUCUGCUUUUAUCACUCGAAAACUGGUGUUCUGCCUCAAACUCGCGCUUUGGAGGUCAGCAUUUCAUACUGUAGGACCUUGAACUUCGUUGGGUGCACCGGAGGUGCACCCAAUGGGUGUAGCCCCCGAGCUUCGAGUGGAUUUUUGAAAAUAAUCCGCUCGAAGGUCUUCACUUCGAGUAUUAUCAGAAAUCCUUUUUAUUUUCCGUUUGCAAUUUGUUGGAGAUCGGCCUUGCUUCUGAUCUUGCCGUAUGCUUUAGAAGUUAGCAUUAUCUUGACUUGAAAUGACGAUUCAUUGGGUGUAGCCCCCGAGCUUCGAGUGGAUUUUUUAAAAUAAUCCACUCGAAGGUCUUUAUUUCGUGCCCUUUUGCUGAGAAUUAUCCUCUCUUUUUCCGAAUGUCUUAGAGGUCAGCAUUAUGUCAUUGAUAUUAUGCUUUAGAGGUCAGCAUGUAUUUUGUCUUUGAGGCCGAGUUAAUGAUCUGCCCAUAUCUUGCUAGGUGGUGCAAUUUAUUUGAUCUGCGACUGAUUGGACGUUCGAUGGACGUCCCCUGGAUAGUCUUCAUGUCGCUUCUGCCAAUCAGGCUUGUACUUCACCGGCUAUAUUUGGCUUUCCUUUGAUCCUUGCUGAUAUCUCACUUUUGUCUUGAGGUAUUCAUUGCAUGCGCUGCACGGAUGUGACAGUUUUGAAAAAUAUACUGAUAAUUCCUGGGCGUCCCCCCCCAAUGGGUGUGGGUAGGGAUGUAAUCGGAUCGAAUACGGACGGAUAUCACUGAAACCAUAUUUGUUUUCAUAUUUUUAUUCGGAUUCGAAUUCGAAUACGGAUAGCUUCGGAUGCGAAUACGAAUACGGAUAUUCUCGGAUAUAGAUACAGAUAGUUGUGUGUCGAAUACGGAACUAGUCGGACACGGAUAUUGUCGGUAACGAAUUUUUUGUCGGAUAUCAUGUAAUACAUCAUUCCACACAUAUCAUGGUUCUAAUCAUGUAUCCACUCCUUGAGUCCAAACAUUUUAUAGUAUUAUAUGUGUACAUAUGUCAUGUUUUUUGUAAAAAAUCAUGAAUUUUAAGCCUAUAUGCGUGUUAUUAAUUUAUUUUCAAUAAAAUCAUCAAACGCAAAUAAGUUACCAAAACUAAUAAACAUUCUAUAAAAAUAUAACCUGAAGUCUCCACAUGAAAAUGAUAAAGUGAACUUGGAUACUUAGAGUGAUUUCACGUGUAAUUCACACAAGUGAAAUUGAAAUGAAAGAAACACUAUCAUAUUGUAGAUUUUAUGGUCCAAAUAUUUUGGAGGAUUGUAUGUGGACAUAUGGUAUGCCUCCAUAAAUUUUCAUGAAUUUCUGAGGCUAUUUGUGUAUUAUUAAUUUCUUUCUACAAAAAAUAAAAAAAUACACACAACUAUCCAGAUAAGAUAUCCGGAUAUCCGAGAAGAUUUAUCCGAAAAAAUAUCCGGAUAUUCGAUAUCCGACGGAUAUCAGACAUAUUGUAUUCGAAUUCGAUAUCCGAACAAAAUAUCCGUAUUCGUAUCUGUUAUCCGAAAAAAGUCCGGAUAUCCGAAAAUUCUAUCUGAACCAGUGUUCAUCAUCUUCGAAUCCGGAUCCGGACGGAUAUUUUCCGAACCAUAUUACAUCCCUAGGUGUGGGCAAGGGACGGCUUGGUACGCUUAGUGUUUGGCGAACUGCUUCUGAGUAGUAAUUUGAUGUGACCGCGCGGUUGACUGGAGUCCCAAUGGGUGUUGUGUUGCGUGAGGCGGCGUCAGCCGCCUGACGUGUCUUCAGACGGUUUAAAUUGCAUAUUGAAUUUUUGUGACUGUUCAGUGGCCGUGGUAGGAGAUGGACGGUUGCCUUCUUCUUCUAUAAAUAGUGUUCUUGCUUCCCCGGUAUUUUCACAUCUCUUACUGCUCUCUGCUGCUUGCUUUCUUCUUCUCCCUUCAUUUCCACCAUGGGCAAGAGUAACAAACGCAAGCGCGAGCCGACUCCUCCAUCAGAGGACUUCGGCGACUCGGAAUACUCGAAGGAGGAGUUCUCCUCCGAGUCCGAGGGGUCUCCGGCUCCCGUCUCUCCCCCGACGUCGUAUGAUGAUUCAGACGACUCCCAGGGGAUUGCCGCGGAGGUCUGGACUUAUAUCCGGGCCGUCGAGCGCUCCGGGCUUGAGGGCUCGGAUGAGUCGGAGUACUUCUCGGACGAGGAGGACUCUUCGGACUCGUUCGAGGAGGGCGGCGACGGUGAUGGCGGAGACGACGACGACGACGGAGGCGACGGUGACGACGGCGACGAUAGCGGCGGUGGAGGUGACGGCGGCAGCAAGGGCGGCAACGACGGCAGCAGCAGGGGCAGCAACGGCGGCGGCAGCAGCAAGGGCAGCAACAAGGCCAGUGGCUAGAUGCCACUGGUCUUUAGAUGUUAGUAUAGAUUAGAAGUAGUAUAAUGAAAUAAUGUAGUAGUAGUUAGUAGUGUAGAGUAGUGUAGUGUAGUGCAGUAGUAGUAGUAGUAGGGGCAUCAUCAACUCAUAACGAGUUGAUUUGUAAGUUCUGUAGCUUCCCUUAAUGAAGAAUGAUUUCGUCUCCUCCUACGUUGGUUAUUUUGCCUCAUGGUCAGUUGAUGAUUGUCGCGAUAUUUUUUGUCUGUAAUGCUCUCUGUCUGUUAUGCUUGUGUCGUAACUUGGAGUUUUCAAAUCAUUCCUCCGUUUGCCUUAUCUGUGAAGUCAAUUCCUCUGGAAUAGUAGCUGAGUAACUCGGGCAUCAUAUCGUCACUUUUAGGGGUGAUGGUCGAGUUAUUAUUGUCAACAUUUAUGAUUCUGAAGUAGCGUCCAAAUGAUGACGAAGCCAUAUCAGCGUUUUAGAAUUAACGUUUGAGUGACUGAUGACCACGUCAGCGUUUUUAGAGGUAACAGCCGAAUGACUGAUGACGACGUCGGCGUUUUAGAGAUAACUACCGAGUGACUGAUGACGACGUCGGCGUUUUAGAGAUAACUGCCGAGUGACUGAUGACCACAUCGGCGUUUUUAGAGGUAACAGCCGAGUGACUGAUGACGACGUCGGCGUUUUUAGAAGUAACAGCCGAGUGACUGAUGACGACGUCGGCGUUUUAGAAAUAACAGCCGAGUUAGAACGGGCUGCGUCGGCCACUUUGAAGAUAAUGGCCGAGUGAUGAUGUGGCACACCGGUGUUUUAGAAGUAACCGCCGGGUGAUGACAUGGCACGCCGGUGUUUUAGAAGUAACCGUCGGGUGAUGACUGGGCGCUUUGUGGAAACAGUAUCCGCCCCGGGAAAGCCCCAUAUGUACUGCGCCUUCGGCUGCCUCUGCUUUCUGUGCCCUAGUUCUUGCUUUCCUGCCUUCAGACCCUCUCUGCCCUUUUGCAAUUCGGCUCCCUCUCUGCUCGCCGGUGGAGUUGAGAUGGCGCCCAAGCGGAAGGCCUCGAGUUCGUCCGCUGCUGUGAUUCCCCCUAUCGACCCCAACAGCUAGUUGCCUUUCGUAGGUAACCAUAUGUCUGUUGUUUCUGAGCCUGACCUUCUCCAUCUCGUGUCCAUCGGGGUCCUUCCUCCGAAGGAGCUCUGCUCUUGGCGGAUUUGCCACGGGGUCACUGUUCCAACAGAGGAUACCCACGAAUCCGUGAUUUAUGUUCCUUUUCUUCUCCGCGGUCUCGCUCUUCCUAUUUCUCCCUUUUUCCGCGGUCUCCUUGAUUUCUAUCGCCUUAAUUUGACCCAUCUGAAUCCCAAUUCCAUUCUGCAAAUUUCCAUUUAUGUUCAUUUAUGCGAGGCUUUUCUUGGCGUCCUGCCACAUUUUGGACUGUGGAAGUACUUGUAUCAUUGUCGCCCUGGGAUGGCCGGGGGGCAGCAUCAGCUGGUGGGGGGUGCGAGUUUGGAGAUGCGCCAUGGGAGGAAAACUGACUACCUUGAAAUCCCACUCAAGGAUAGUAUCAAAGGAUGGCGCUUGGAGUGGUUUAUUGUUGAAAACCACGGAAAAUCUCUCCCCCCGCGGUCAGGGAGACAGCCGGAUGUUCAUACCCCGAGUUGGACCGAGUCCCCCACAGACCAGGAGGUGGCUGAGGCAGGGGCUUUGCUGACUGAAGUUGGACUGUUGAAGGAGAGGGGUCUGACUGCAGAGGCUGUGGUUGCUGAUUUGGUCUUCAAGAACAUUCAGCCUUUGAAGGAUAGGGCAUACCCGGCCUAUCUGUACUGAGGUCUAGCUGACUCAACCCGGGUCACCAACAGAAGAAUUCCUGCUGUAGACUUGGUGAACCAGCUUGAAAUGAUACUUAGAGGCAAGGUAUCAAAUGUUGGCGCCCCUGUCGCAUACUCGGCCUGGAACCUGCCUCCUUUCAAGGCCUUUACGCAUUUUGUGUCGAAUCCUCCUGCUGCUGAUGGCGGUUUGGGCCUUAGAGUGCGACCCUCUACCGAAGAAGUUAGUGCUUUGGUUGCUUUGCUUGGAGAAAUUCCUGAUGAUGAACGGCAGGUUCACUUUGAGGUGCCUUUGGAUCCUAGUGAUGCAGAGAUAAGUGCAAUGCUUGAUAUGCUGGCCGAGGACUCUUCUGAUGCCGCUCCUGCUGGGACAUUGGUGGUGGCGCCUCUCCUGGAAGCUGGUAAAACCUUGGAUAUUCAGAGGCCUGUCAGUGUUCGCCCAAAGCGCCCUUGCCGAGCCAAUCAGCUUGAUUCUCCUGCUGAUGAGCAGAAAAAGAAAAAGAGACGUCUUCGGCGAGUAUCUAGCUUGGAUCGGGAUGCUGGUCCUUCGGUUCCUGCUGUUGAGGAAGUGCCUGUGCCUGAAUUUACCGACGCUGACCCCAAUGGGUGUGAUUCAUCUGUCGCAGAUCCCAAUACGUGUAAUCCGUCUGUCGCUGAUCCCAAUGGGUGUGAUCCAUCUGUCGUUGAUCCCAAUGGGUGUGCUAUCUGUGUUGCUGAUGAAAACGAGGGGAGGAAGAAGAUGAGGUCCCUUUGACUCGGAAGAACAGUCGGCAAUAUGUAGCCAGUGGGGAAAGUAGUGGAGUUCGUUCUCCUGCUCUGUCUGCCCUCAUUGGUCUACAAGAAUUGUCUCUGGCGAACUUUGAUCAUACUCUUGAAGAUAUGGUUCCAGAGGAUCUGUUAUCAGAGCCGGCGGAUGGUGACGUGAUGGAUGUUUGUGCUGAUGUGUUCGACGCCGGGUUGGGGUCAUCCUGGGCAGCGUCCCGCGCCUCAUCGACCUUGGAGCGCGGUCUUGAGGGUCAGGAAACUGACUUGGAUCAUCCUGCUCCCAUGGAAGUAUCUGAGGGACCUUCAGCCUUAGAGGUGGCUGUCGCAGAGAACUCAGCCCUCAAGGAUGGUGUUGUCGCUCACCCAGCCCCCGAGGGUGUUGCCGGGGAUGAUUCGGCUUGGGUGGGUAGCGCAAGCUGCAACCCAGCCCCCGAGGGUGUUGCCGGAGACGAUCCAACUCGAAUGGGUAGCGCAAACUAUGACCCAGCCCCCGAGGGUGUCCGAGCGGGGUCUCCCUCUGGUACUUCAAUGGAUGUUCACGUGGGGUCUCCUUCACAUUCUGGUUGCAUGGUGGUAGCCCAAGCCUUUGGUCAAGGAGCCGCUUUAGAGGCUAGCGUUCAUGACGACGAAGUUUUGGGCUCUGCUGAUGACACUGAGUUGGUCCCUGCUGGUUCAUUGCAAGUUGCUACGGGUGGUGAUCCUUCGCCGAGCCAUCAAUUGAUUUCUCACGAUUUGGGGGUCCCCUCAUUCUUCUCCAGUCUCCAGGUACUAUGGUCUAUUCUAGUCUGACUUUUACACCGGAUGAACUGCUGUCAUUACAUUCAUCUGCUCUCAAUAUCAGGCAUUGGUGGACGGGAUGGCUAGUCAGCUGAAGUUGCAGGGUGCUUCUGUUCCAGAAGGAGCUUCGUCUCUAGCACGUUGGAAUCCGGUGCUGCUUCAAUAGCGUGUUUCUAACUUAGAGGCUGCGAAUGCUGGUUAACGUUUUUCUGCUUCCCUUCGUCUCCCUUAUUAAACUGCUUCUUAAUUUAACCCUUUUGCUUGAUUGUUUCUCGCUAGAUAUGGCUCGGCAGUUUUCUGUUCUUGAAGAGAAACAUUCUCAGAGUCAGGCUAAACUGGUCCGGUGGUGCUCUAAUUUUGAGGAAAAGUAUUCCCAAAGCCAGACUGAGUUGGCCCAGGUUUCUGCUGCUCUGAAUGACGCUAACACGCUGAACUCUACUCUUCGCGCUCAGCUUGAUUAUGAAAAGGUGACUUAUGAAUCGGUGCCUUGUUUUGCCGUGUUCUUAUUGCUUGCUUGAUGUCUGAAGAAGCUGACUCUUGUUUGCAGGAAGAAAAACGUGCCCUUGUUGCUUCUCGUGACAAUCUUGACAGGCUAUAUCGUGACUCUAGCAACUCGUUGACCAUUUUGGAGAGGAGUCAUCGCUUCACCAUGGAGGAGCUAGACAAUCAGCGUUGUAAGCUGCAGGAAUCCACGGAUGACGUGAUCCGCCUCAGGCAGUUGAUAUCGGCUAAAGAUGCUGUUAUCAAGGAACUACGUGCUUCCAAGAAAUCCAUCGCCCAGGAGCUAGAGACCGCUCAGUUGGCUGUCAAAGUUGCUGAAGAAACUUCCGUUACUCUGAGGGCCCAGCGCGACAAAGCCAUGGAUAAAGCCAUUCGCGAGGGGCGGAUCUUGAUGAGGAGACCCGGUGUGAUUGUUCCUGACGAUAUAAGGGCUGAUGUGAACGCUGCUCCUGAUUCCUCAAGUCGCCCUUCUUCAUCAGUUGCUCCUGAGAAGAAUGUUGCAAAAUAGAAAAACAUUGCGUGCUUUGAGCGCGCGGUUAUCGUGCUCCGAUAUUUUGUUAGAGGACACCAGCUUGACAUUUGAAUGCUACUGUUAUUCUCCCAUCGUUUUAGAAUUCGGCAGUAUCUAAAUUUGCAGAAGUAAAAUGUUGUAUGCUGAUUUUGAAACUUGUUCACGGGACAUAGAGGUCGCCCCUAUAUGAGUAAUCGUAAGCACGUGGAACCGUCUUAAGUCGUUGCUGACUCAAACCGAUUACUUUUGUUAAUAGGGCAUAGUAGUAACCCGAGUUAAGUAAGAGCGAGCAUGUUGCACCGUCUUAAGUCGUUGCCGACUUAAGCCGAUUGCUCUAUUAGCCGGGCAUAGUGGUCACCCUGAGUUAAGUAAGCGCGAGCAUGUUGCACCGUCUUAAGUCAUUGCCGACUUAAGCCGAUUGCUCCGUUGGUAGGGCAUAGUGGUCACCCCAAGUUAAGUAAGCGUGAGCAUGUUGCACCGUCUUAAGUCGUUGCCGACUUAAGCCGAUUGCUCCGUUAGCAGGGCAUAGUGGUCACCCCGAGUUAAGUAAGCACGGGCAUGUUGCACCGUCUUAAGUCGUUGCCGACUUAAGCUGAUUGCUCCGUUAGCAGGGCAUAGUGGUCACCCCGAGUUAAGUAAGCGUGAGCAUGUUGCACCGUCUUAAGUCGUCGCCGACUUAAGUCGAUUGCUCCGUUAGCAGGGCAUAGUGGUCACCCCGAGUUAAGUAAGCGCGAGCAUGUUGCACCGUCUUAAGUCGUUUCCGACUUAAGCCGAUUGCUCCGUUAGCAGGGCAUAGUGGUCACCCCGAGUUAAGUAAGCGUGAGCAUGUUGCACCGUCUUAAGUCAUUGCCAACUUAAGUCGAUUGCUCCGUUAGCAGGGCAUAGUGGUCACCCCGAGUUAAGUAAGAGUGUAGGUCGAUCAUGAACAAACUGAGUAUUCUUGAAGCCUUUUUUAUUGAUGACAUAUUUCCCAUUUUACAGAGUACAUUGUCGUCCCGAUAGCUUUUGAAAUACAGCUAGGGAUAAAACUUCCUGAGGUGUUAUAUAUUCCAUGAGUUCCCAAUUUAUGUGUCGUCCAUCUGAGUGAGACGAUAUGAUCCCGGCCGAGUGACUUCUGCUACUAUGAAUGGUCCUUCCCAUAAGGGUGACAACUUGUGCCGUCCCUCCCCCGUUAGAAUUCGGCGGAGGAUGAGAUCUCCCACUGCAAAGGAUCAUCGUCGCACGGACUUGUCGUGAUAGCGUCUCAGAGUUUGCUGGUAUCGUGCUGAUUGAAUUACUGUGUUCAGCCGUUCUUCUUCGAGUACAUCAAUAUCCUCUAGCCUAGUAGCUUCGGCUUCUGCUAUGCUUUCAAAGACCAACCUUGGCGCCCCAAACUUGAGAUCAGCGGGUAAUACUGCCUCUGACCCAUAGACCAUGAAGAAAGGAGUAUUUCCAUGCAGAGCUCGACUAGGUUGAGUUCUUAUACUCCAAACGACGUAGGGCAACUCCCUUAUCCAUUUUCCUGCGAACUUUUCAUUUUUAUCGAAGACCUUUUUCCUGUGUGCCUCUAAUAUCAUCCUGUUAGCUCGUUCAACCUGCCCGUUGGCUCUUAGGUGUGCCACCGAAGCAUACUUGAUCUGAAUGCUCUUUUGCUCGUAGAAAUCGAAGAACUCUGAACUUGUGAAGUUGGAUCCUAGGUCAGUUAUGAUACUGUUCGGUAUUCCGAAUCUGAAUAUUAUGUCUUGUAUGAAUUCCACGGCCUUAGCUGAGGUUAAAGAGGCAAUGGAUUUGAACUCUAUCCAUUUAGUGAAUUUGUCGAUUGCUACCAGUACAUGAGUGUAUCCUCCUUGAGCUUUCUUGAAAGGUCCAAUCAUAUCCAGUCCCCAGCAUGCGAACGGCCAAGUUACUGGUAUGGUCUGCAGUUGCUGUGCUGGUAGAUGUUGUUGCUUUGACAAGUACUGGCAAGCUUCGCACCUCUGAACUAACUCGGCUGUAUCACUUUUUGCCGUUGGCCAAUAGAAUCCCGACCUGAAGACCUUCCCGACUAGUGUCUUGGAUGCUGCGUGUAUUCCACAUUGCCCAGCAUGGACCUCAUCUAGAAGUUGCUUCCCAGUAGAUGAGAGAAUGCAUUUCAUGAGGACGCCCGAUGCACCCCUUCUGUAUAGUGUCUCCCCAAUGAGUGUGUAGUGAGCUGACUGUCUAGCGAUGCGCUUGGCUGCAUUUUUGUCAUCUGGUUCCUAUUCAUUCUUUAUAUAUCUGAUGAUCGGCCUUCUCCAGUCAUCAGAAUCUGACUCUGGUUGGUUCACGAUAUUACAUUCUUCUGCCUGGUCCAUUGAGAUGCUUAGAUGUGGUAUUUCUUGCACGAAGACUCCAGGUGGGACCUGAGUUCGACUGGAUCCUUGCUUGGACAAUACAUCAGCUGUCGUGUUUCGAUCUCUUUCUACAUGGUGAAAUUCCAGACCUUCGAAUUUAUCUUCUAGUUCCGGACGGCGGUGCAGUACUUUCCCAUUGAAUCGCUCGAACAGUCCCAUUCUUUGUUUAUCUGGCUUAUGACUACCAAAGAACCUCCGUAUACCAUCAGUCUCUUGAUGCCUAGUGAUGUAGCAAUGUUCAGUCCAUGAAUCAGAGCUUCAUAUUCGGCUGCGUUGUUGGAGGCUGGAAAUAACAACUGGAGGGCAUAUUUGAGGUGCUCGCCUCUAGGUGCGGUAAAGAGAAUUCUCGCGCCUGCUCCCUGCAGUUUCAACGAGCCAUCAAAAUACAUUCACCAUACUUCUGUGGUUUCUGGGUUAUCUGGUACUUGUUGUUCAGUCCAUUCUGAUACGAAGUCAACCAAUGCUUGAGUUUUGAUGGCAGUGCGAGGUCGAAAUUCGAUGUCAUGAGAUCCCAGUUCACAGGCCCACUUGGCUAUUCGGCCAAUGGCUUCCUUGUUGUGAAGAAUAUCCCCUUUCGGAAAACCAGUGACUACUAUGACUUUGUGGUCGUCAAAGUAGUGACGUAGCUUGCAGGCAGUUAGAAGUACUGCAUAUAAUAUCUUCUGAACUUGAGGAUACUUUUUCUUCGAGGGACCCAAAACUUCACUAAUGAAAUAAACAUGAUGUUGCACUGGGUAGGCAUGUCCUUCUUCUGCUCGCUCGACUACCAACACAGUGCUUACCACGUGAGUCGUGCAAGAGAUAUACAACAGCAAAUCUUCAGCUGGUUGAGUUGACGUGGCUCGCCGUGGCGGCUUCAGCACUGGUGGUGUUGUCAAGAAUUUUUUCAGUGCAUCUAGGGCUUCCUGUGCUUCUGAAGUCCACUGAAACUUAUCCACCUUCUUGAGUAGCUUAUAGAACGGUAAGCCUUUUUCUCCCAGUCUGGAUAUGAAUCUGCUCAGGGCUGCCAUACAUCCGGUAAGUCUCUGAACUUUCUUUUGUGAAUGUGGUGCCUCCAUUUUCAUGAUAGAUUCGAUCUUAUCCGGAUUAGCUUCAAUUCCCCGGUGGCUGACAAUAAAUCCGAGUAGCUUUCCUGCCGGUACCCCAAAGACACAUUUUUCGGGAUUAAGCUUCCAUCGAUAUCGCCGUAGACUGUUGAAAACCAGCUGUAAACCUUCGAUGAAAUUUUCUGAGUUCUCCGUUUUGAUUACCACAUCAUCUACAUAGGCUUCCACACGCUUGCCCCAGUGAUCGGCUAAGCAUGUUUGAAUGGCUCUCUGAUAAGUCGCUCCAGCGUUUUUGAGGCCGAACGGCAUGGAGGUAUAGCAGAAAGCACCGAACGGAGUGAUGAACGCUGUUUUUUCCUCGUCUUCUUUUGCCAAAAUAAUCUGAUGAUAUCCGGAGUAGCAAUCCAGGAAAGACAGCACAGAACAUCCAGCGGUGGAAUCUACCACCUGAUCUAUCCUAGGAAGCCCGAAGGGAUCCUUUGGACAGUGUUUGUUGAGAUCCGUAUAGUCGACGCACAUGCGCCAAUCCACUUUAUUCUUUUUGAGUACAAGAACAGGGUUGGCUAACCACUCGGGAUGUAACACCUCUCUAAUAAACCCAGCCGCGACCAAGCGGGCCAGCUCAGCGCGAAUGGCCUCUCUCUUGUCAGGCGUGAAGCGACGUAGUUUUUGCCGAAUCGGCCUCGCCUGGGGAUAGACCUUCAGUUUGUGCUCGGUCAGUUCUCUCGGGACUCCCGGCAUAUCCGCAGGUUGCCAUGCGAAUACGUAUCGGUUAUCCUGCAGAAACUGGACGAGCACGCCUUCCUAUUUGUCAUCCAGGCUGGAGCUGAUGAUGGCUGUUUUGCGCUCAUCAGCGAACCCAAGGUUGAUCCUUUUGGUUUCUUCAGUCGGCUGCAUAGAGAUCGCGACUUGAGCUUCAUUUGCAGGUGCUGCAAGGUCUUCCUCAGGCUUAGAGUUUUCCUGCGUCGAAGAAGUCACCGACGGUUUGGUGGUGAGGGCCGCCUGGAUGGCCACUCGGAAACAUUCUAUGGCGCCUUGGAAGUCAGCGCGCACAGUUAUGAUUCCUUGCGGCCCUGGAAUCUUCAAUAUCAUGUAUGUGUAAUGCGGAAUGGCCAUGAAUUUUGCCAAUCCCGGCCUCCCGGUGAUGGCGUUGUACCCGCAGCCGAAGUUCGCCACUUUGAACCUCAGGAACUCGGUUCUGUAGUUCUCCGGAGUUCCAAAGGUGACUGGCAUGUAGAUGUGGCCCAGUGGGUAUUCUCCUUCAGUCGGCACGAUGCCGAAGAAAGGAGUGUCUGACUCGUGGAGCUCUUUGAGGUGAACUCCCAAGCCUUGGAGUGUCCGAGGGAAGGUGACAUUGAUGCUGCUCCCCCCGUCCACUAAUACCUUCUUUACCAUGCUCUCUCGGAUCACCGGAUCGACGAGGAGCGGGUAUUUGCCUGGGUGGUCGAAGUUGAGCCAUUGAUCUGCCCGAGUGAAGGUGAUCAGGUGCUCCGACCAUCGGUACGGAGCGAGAGGACCGAUGGUCGCCACCAAUAUCUGGCGAUCGUUGAGCUUUUGUUGUCUUCUGUUCUCCUGCGAUCCGUGUCCGCCGAAGAUGACGUUGACCUCGCUGUCAACGCGCGGGAAGGCUCCACCUUCUCCCUCCUCCAGUUGCUGAGGUUGUUGCGGUUCUCCUGGUCCUCCCCGUGGCAGAGGAGGAGGUAGAGGUUGGAAGGGCCGGCCGUGUCCGACGGAGUGCUUGAAGUCUCUACAGUUCUGAAGGGUGUGGCGCAUGUCCUUGUGGUACGGGCACUGGGCGUCGAGGAUGUCGUCCAGCGUGCGUUCGCCCCCACGAGGUCCUCCCCGGGCGUGAGAGGCAGGUGGUUCGGCGGCGUGCACUUCUUCGCGAGGCCUCUUCUCCCAGCGUUUGUCGGGCUGCUGGUUUGUAUCGCGUCGCAGUGCUGCUGGUGCAGGCUUCGCUCCUCCGAUGAGGUCCUGAGCUCGCUCGUCGGCGGUGAUGUAGAGGUCGGCUUCCCAGAACAGUUGCUCGGAGGUAGUUGGCACCUUCUGUAAUAUGGCUCGGACGAAAGCCGAGUCGUUGGAUCCUCUGUAGAAGUCCUCGAUCAUGGCCGCCUCCGUGACCUCGGGGAUAUGAUUUCUCAUGGUCUGGAACCUUUUGAGGUAUGACCGAAGAGUCUCGUCCCCCCGGCGCUUGAUGGAUUUGAGGUCCCAUGGUUGCGCUGGUUUGUCAGAGAGGGAUUGAAAGUUGGCGGUGAAGCAUCGACUGAAAAGUCAUUCCAGUCGUCGAUGCAGUGCCGGGGUAGAUGUCGCAGCCAUUGUAGCGCGUCUUGCCCGAGAACAAUGGGUAAGUUGCGGUCAUCACGUCCUCGGAUGCCCCGAUAGCUCGAGCAGCGGUGGUGUACACGGCCAGCCAGCCUCCUGGAUCCUGCUUAGGUUCAUAUUUGUCGACAUUGGAUACCUUGAAGUUAGGGGGCCAUUGAAUAGCCUUAAGGCGCGGAGUAAGAGCAGACACUCCACACGUGUCUUCUUGUCGUCGGGGAUGAUGUCGGUCCCGGGGAGGGGAGUAGUUGUUGUGGUUCCUCGACCGUCCCCGGGUGGUACCGCCAGUCGAGGCCGUUGCUGAAUCAGUUCUAGUGGCCUAACUCCGAGCUGGAAUGCCAUGAUCCCUGUCGUAUUCCUCUCGGCGGUGGAUCUCGUUCUCAUGUCGUCGUUCACGCGAAGCAUUGAUGGAGCUUCGCGCGUCCCGGUGGCUGUUGAUGGCGUGUCGUAGGUCGUUCGGCGGGUGAGCGAGAGGUAGAAGAUGGUUGGCUGCUUGGGUGAACAGUCGUCGAUAGCCCUCGGCGUCGGGAGUCCGAGGGAGUCCAUCAGCUAUCCGAGCUAGUACCCCUCCGACUUCACUCGACGUGUUCAUGGCUCGGGCGAAGUCGGGGUUCAGGUUGCGCCCGAAGAGUGGAUUCUCUCGACGUUGCCUUGCCUCCUGCUCGGCCUGUUCCUGAGCUCGUCGGCGAUCACGUCGUCGGGAGUUCCUCCGUUCUCUGAAGAUGCGUUCCUCCGCAGUUUCUCCUAUCUCUGAGACCUCGUCUCAUGAGACAGGCUGCUCUGGGUCCCGCUCUCCGGCCUCGUGAUGUCGCCGGACAUUUCAGCGUCGGUUCCUCCGUUGGCGGGAUUCCCGCUGAGGAGGUUCUUCUCCGGGUGCGGUUAGCUCAUCGUCGGAGACGGGGGGCGACUCCACUCUCCCGAUGAAGAGGACGUCGGGGUAGAAUGGUGCGGCGGUCGUGGCGAUCUUCUUUCCGUUCUCCUUUGAGGACGGAGGAACGGAAAGAACAACUUGCUUCCUCCCGGUUUUAUUUGUUUCUUUCUUCCUUGCGAUUUGUGUCCAUUCUUUCGUCGGGGAAGUAGACAGUGGGGUUCUCCGGGUCAUCGCGCCCUCGGCCCCUGGCUUGCUGAAGGCGAUCUUUUUUCGGAGCGCUGGAGGUUGCGCUUUUCCCUGCCUUACUCCGACAUUUUCGGAGGUUGUUGGAGGAGACUUCUUCCUUGGCGGAUCUGCGAUGCGAUGUAGAGUUCCUUCUUCAUCUGCUACGGAUGAGAUAGUUCCAAAGCAGAACACAGAUCCAGGGCAGAGGGUGAUCUUGCGGUGGAAGGUGAUGGCCAUUGAGCUAGCUUAGAUCGGCGACACACCCCCUACCUGGCGCACCAGCUGUCGGUGUUUUGGGUCCGACCGCACACCAGUGGACCCGGGGGAUAUCUAUCCCCCACAACUAAUAAUAAUAAAUACUUGACCAACUAAAAGCAACUGCUUAACCUCAACUCCAUAUACAUCUUGUCGGGGACCAUAAUUAGGGGUACCCUCAAGGCUCCUAAAUCUCAGCUGGUAACCCCCAUCAGCACAAAGCUGCAAAGGCCUGAUGGGUGCGACUAAGCCAAGGAUCGGUCCAUUCGAGGGACGCGAUCACGCCUCGCCCGAGCCCAGCCUCGGGCAAGGGCAGCCGACCCCGGAGGAUCUACGUCUCUCCUGAGGCCCCCUCCAGCAACGGACAUACUUUCGGCUCGCCCGAGGCCCAGCCUUCACCAAGAAGCAACCUUGGCCAAAUCGCCACGCCAACCGACCAAAUCGCAGGGGCAUUUAAUGCAAAGGUGGCCUGACACCUUUAUCCUGACACGCACCCUCCAGUCGACAGAGCCGAAGUGACCGCAGUCACUUCGCCGCUCCACUGACCGGUCUGACAAGAGGACAGCGCCGCCUGUGCCGCUCCGACUGCUGUGCCACUCGACAGAGUGAGGCUGACAAGCAGCCAGGCCUGGCCUCAGGCGCCAUAGGAAACUCCGCUUCGCCCAACCCCAGGGCUCGGACUCGGGCUCAGCCCCUGAAGACGACGGACUUCGCUUCGCCCGACCCCAGGGCUCGGACUCGGGCUCAGCCCCAGAAGACGACAAACUCCGCUCUGCCCGACCCCAGGGCUCGGACUCGGGCUCAGCCCUUGAAGACGACGAACUCCGCUCCGCCCGACCCCAGGGCUCAGACUCGGGCUCAGCCCCGGAAGACGACGAACUCCGCUUCGCCCGACCCUAGGGCUCGGACUCAGCCCUGGCCUCAGCCGACGGUCUCCGCCUCGCCCGACCCAGGGGCUCGGACUCGACCUCGGCCUCGGAAGACAGACUCGACCUCGACCUCGGAGGAGCCUCCACUUCGCCCAACCCAGGGCACGGACCAACCACGUCAACAGGAGGCGCCAUCAUUACCCUACCCCAAGCUGACUCAGGCUAUGGGGAACAAGACCGGCGUCCCAUCUAGCUCGCUCCACCAGACAAGUAAUGAUGGCGCCCCGCACGCUCUAUGACGACGGCGGUUCUCAGCCCCCUUACGGAAGCAAGAGGACGUCAGCAAGGACUCGACAGCCCCGACAGCUGUCCUUCCGCCAGGCUCCAGCGCUCCUCCGACGGCCACGACACCACACGAAUCAGGUGCCAAAACCUCUCCGGCUGCCACGAUGGCAUGUACUUAGGGCGCUAGCUCUCCUCCGCUAGACACGUUAGCACACUGCUACACCCCCAUUGUACACCUAGAUCCACUCCUUGCGCCUAUUAAAGGAAGGACCAGCGCCCUCUUACAGAGGGUUGGCCGCGCGGGGAAAGGACGGGACGGGCGCUCGCGUGAGGCCGCUCGCUCCCUCCCGCGUGGAUGCUUGUAACCCCCUACUGCAAGCGCACCCGACCUGGGCGCGGGACAAACACGAAGGCCGCGGGAUUUCCACCUCUCACGCCUGUCUCCUCUCCGGCUGCCUUCCCCCUUCGCGCUCCAUCUCGCGCCGACCCAUCUGGGCUGGGGCACGCGGCGAUAGUUUACUCGUCGGUCCAGGGACCCCCCGGUCUCGAAACGCCGACAGUUGGCGCGCUAGGUAGGGGCCUGCUGCGUGUUGACGAACAGCUUCCCGUCAAGCUCCAGAUGGGCAGUCUCCAACAACCUUUCCAGCCCGGGACGGUGCUCCGUUUCGGGAGUCUUGAGUUCAUGUCCCUCGACGGCAGCUACGACAUGAUAAUCCUUCCCCCGCCGUGCGACAGCGACAAUGGCGGCCGACAGCCCGCUCGCCGGCGGCGGAAUCGACGACGUCUUCCCCGCGUGGUGGAAGAACAACUUUCGAGCUCACCCCGUCCCCUCCCCCGCCGACGGAGGAGGAGGCGGGGCAACCAAGGCCAAGCAGGGGGCGGCACCUCGUCGGCUGUCGAGCGAGUCGACGGUGCCGGCGCCCCAACGGGGGGCACGUCGGGCAUCGACCUCGCGUCUGAGACGAAGACGAGCGCCGUCUCCCCGCAACACGCCAAUCCCAAGCAAACGGACGACGCCAGUACGCUCGCGAAGGGCUUACUGGGUGUCACCCUUGUACCUGAGAUGACGGUGCAGUCAGUCCCUGACGUGACUUCGUCACCGCCCGUCGACCAAGAGGUACCGACCGAUUCCCAUCUCACGCCUUUUGGAUUCAGCCUCGACCGGCUGGGGUAUCGUAUGCGGUCACCCUAGGACCGGCUGACGGAUGUCUCGACCUACGGGCCCUCGGGGUCCAAGGAAGAUGACGAGCCCGACUUCUGUUGGGAUUUCUCUGGACUUGGUAACCCCAGUGCCAUGCGGGACUUUAUGACCGCGUGUGACUACUGCCUUUUUGACUGUUCCGACGGUAGCCGCAGCCUCGGCGACGAGGACUGCGGCCCAAGUUGUGAAUGUUUCCACGUCGAUCUAGGGGGUCCCUCCGAAGGCAACUAUCUUGGUAUGCCGGAGAACGGUGAUCUCCCUAGGCCUGUGCCUCGCGUUGACAUCCUACGAGAGCUAGUUGUGGUCCCCGUUCCGGUGGGGGGUCAUGACCCACAGCUCGAGCAAAUCCGCGGGGUGCCGGCCAGGCUCGACGAGGGAGCAGGAACACUCGAGCCGAUCCGUCGGGACAUCGGACAGGAAUGGGCGGGCCAACCUCCGGCCAGAGAAAUGCGUCAUCUACCCCAGGGUAUCCAGCACCGCAUCGCCGACGAUGUCAGGGUGAGGCCGCCACCCACUUCCAGUGGAGUCGGCCAGAACAUGGCUGCGGCGGCAAUGCUCCUCCGCGUGAUGCCGGAGCCAUCAACCACCGAGGGGCGGCGAAUUCAGGGAGAGCUCAAGAAUCUCCUGGAGGACGCCGCGGUCCGACGGGCCGAAAGCUCUGCCUCCCGAAGGCAGGGGUACCCCUUGGAACAUCGCGCCGCGACUUCCCGAUUCAUGCGGGAAGCCUCGGUCCACACCGGGCGCACGUGCAACACAGCGCCUGCGGCCCCGGGUCGCUUCGGCAACGAGCACCAUCACCGCAACCGUCGGGCCCACCUCGACGAGAGGGUGCGCCGAGGCUACCACCCCAGGCGUGGGGGACGCUACGACAGCGGGGAGGAUCGGAGUCCCUCGCCCGAACCACCCAGUCCGCAGGCUUUCAGCUGCGCCAUACGACGGGCGCCGUUCCCGACCCGGUUCCGAACCCCGACUACUAUCACAAAGUACUCGGGGGAGACGAGACCGGAACUGUGGCUCGCGGACUACCGGCUGGCCUGCCAGCUGGGUGGAACAGACGAUGACAACCUCAUCAUCCGCAACCUCCCCCUGUUCCUCUCCGACACCGCUCGCGCCUGGUUGGAGCACCUGCCUCCGGGGCAGAUCUCCAACUGGGACGACCUGGUCCAAGCCUUCGCCGGCAAUUUCCAGGGCACGUACGUGCGCCCUGGAAACUCCUGGGACCUCCGAAGCUACCGACAGCAGCCGGGAGAGUCUCUCCGGGACUACAUCCGACGAUUCUCGAAGCAGCGCACCGAGCUGCCCAACAUCACCGAUUCAGAUGUCAUCGGCGCGUUCCUCGCCGGCACCACCUGCCGUGACCUGGUGAGCAAGCUGGGUCGAAAGACUCCCACCAGGGCGAGCGAGCUGAUGGACAUCGCCGCCAAGUUCGCCUCUGGCCAGGAGGCGGUUGAGGCUAUCUUCCGGAAGGACAAGCAGCCCUAGGGCCGCCCACCGGAAGAUGCCCCCGAGGCAUCAACUCAGCGCGGCGCCAAGAAGAAAGGCAAGAAGAAGUCGCAAGCAAAACGAGACGCCGCCGACGCAGACCUUGUCGCCGCCUCCGAGUACAAGAACCCUCGGAAACCCCCCGGAGGUGCCAACCUCUUCGACAAGAUGCUCAAGGAACCGUGCCACUAUCAUCAGGGGCCCGUUAAGCACACCCUUGAGGAGUGCGCCAUGCUUCGGCGUCACUUCCACAGGGCCGGGCCACCCGCGGAGGGUGGCAGGGCUCGCGACGACGAUAAGAAGGAAGAUCACCAGGCAGGAGAGUUCCCCGAGGUCCGCGACUGCUUCAUGAUCUACGGUGGGCAAGCGGCAAACGCCUCGGCUCGGCACCGCAAGCAAGAGCGUCGGGAGGUCUGUUCGGUAAAGGUGGCGGCGCCAGUCUACCUAGACUGGUCCGACAAGCCCAUCACCUUCGACCAAGCCGACCACCCCGACCGCGUGCUGAGCCCGGGGAAAUACCCGCUCGUUGUCGACCCCGUCAUCGGCGACGUCAGGCUCACCAAGGUCCUCAUGGACGGAGGCAGCAGCCUCAACAUCAUCUACGCCGAGACCCUCGGGCUCCUGCGUGUUGAUCUGUCCUCGGUCCGAGCAGGCGUUGCGCCUUUCCAUGGGAUCAUCCCCGGGAAACGCGUCCAGCCCCUCGGACAACUCGAUCUUCCCGUCUGCUUUGGGACACCCUCCAACUUCCGAAGGGAGACCCUUACGUUCGAGGUGGUCGGGUUCCGAGGAACCUACCACACAGUGCUGGGGAGGCCAUGCUACGCGAAGUUCAUGGCUGUCCCCAACUACACCUACCUCAAGCUCAAGAUGCCGGGCCCCAACAGGGUCAUCACCGUCGGCCCCACGUACCGACACGCGUUCGAAUGCGACGUGGAGUGCGUGGAGUACGCCGAGGCUCUCGCCGAGUCUGAGGCCCUCAUCACCGACCUGGAGAGCCUCUCUAAGGAGGUGCCAGACGUGAAGCGCCACGCCGGCAACUUCGAGCCAGCGGAGACGGUUAAGUCCGUCCCCUCGACCCCAGCAGCGACGCCUCCAAGCAGAUCCGGAUCGGCUCCGAGCUCGAUCCCAAAUAGGAAGCAGUGCUCGUCGACAUUCUCCGCGCGAACGCCGACGUCUUCGCGUGGAGUCCCUCGGACAUGCCCGGCAUACCGAGGGAUGUCGCCGAGCACUCGCUGGAUAUCCGGGCUGGAGCCCGACCCGUGACGCAGCCUCUGCGCCGAUUCGACGAAGAAAAGCGCAGAGCCAUAGGCGAGGAGAUCCACAAGCUAAUGGCGGCAGGGUUCAUCAAAGAGGUAUUCCAUCCCGAAUGGCUUGCCAACCCUGUGCUUGUGAGAAAGAAAGGAGGGAAAUGGCGGAUGUGUGUAGACUACACUGGUCUAAACAAAGCAUGUCCGAAGGUUCCCUACCCUCUGCCUCGCAUCGACCAAAUCGUGGAUUCCACUGCUGGGUGCGAAACCUUGUCUUUCCUCGAUGCCUACUCAGGGUAUCACCAAAUCAGGAUGAAUGAGUCCGACCAGCUCGCGACUUCUUUCAUCACACUCUUCGGCAUGUACUGCUAUGUCACCAUGCCAUUCGGCUUGAGGAAUGCGGGUGCGACGUACCAACGGUGCAUGAACCAUGUGUUCGGCGAACACAUUGGCCGGACGGUCGAGGCCUACGUCGAUGACAUCGUAGUCAAGACAAGGAAAGCCUCUGACCUCCUUUUCGACCUUGAAGUGACAAUCUGAUGUCUCAAGGCGAAAGGUGUGAAGCUCAAUCCCGAAAAGUGUGUCUUCGGGGUUCCCCGAGGCAUGCUCUUGGGGAUCAUCGUCUCUGAGCGGGGCAUCGAAGCCAACCAGAGAAGAUCGUGGCCAUCACCAGCAUGGGGCCCAUCAAGGACUUAAAAUGCGUACAGAGGGUCAUGGGAUGCCUUGCGGCUCUGAGCCGCUUCAUCUCGCGCCUCGGUGAAAGAGGUCUGCCUCUGUACCGCCUCUUAAGGAAGGCCGAGUGCUUCACUUGGACCCGUGAGGCCGAGGAAGCCCUCGGGAACCUGAAGGCGCUCCUUACAAACGCGCCCAUCUUGGUGCCACCCGCUGCCGGAGAAGCCCUCUUGAUCUACAUCGCCGCGACCACUCAGGUGGUUAGCGCCGCGAUUGUGGUUGAGAGACGAGAAGAGGGGCAUGCAUUGCCCGUCCAGAGGCCAGUCUACUUCAUCAGCGAGGUACUGUCCGAAACCAAGAUCCGCUACCCACAAGUUCAGAAGCUGCUAUAUGCAGUGAUUCUGACACGACGGAAGUUGCGACACUACUUCGAGUCUCAUCCGGUAACUGUGGUGUCAUCCUUCCCCCUAGGGGAGAUCAUCCAGUGCCGAGAGGCCUCGGGUAGAAUUGCAAAGUGGGCGGUGGAAAUCAUGGGCGAAGCGAUCUCGUUCGCCCCUCGGAAGGCCAUCAAGUCCCAGGUCUUGGCGGACUUCGUGGCUGAAUGGGUCGACACCCAGCUCCCAACAGUUCCGAUCCAACCAGAACUCUGGACCAUGUUCUUCGACGGGUCGCUGAUGAAGACAGGAGCAGGCGCAUGCCUGCUCUUCAUCUCGCCCCUCGGAAAGCACCUACGCUACGUGCUACGCCUCCACUUCCCGGCGUCCAACAAUGUGGCUGAGUACGAGGCUCUGGUCAACGGGUUGCGCAUCGCCAUCGAGCUAGGGGUCCGACGCCUCGACGCUCGCGGUGACUCGCAACUCGUCAUCGACCAAGUCAUGAAGAACUCCCACUGCCGCGACCCGAAGAUGGAAGCCUACUGCGAUGAGGUUCGGCGCCUGGAAGACAAGUUUUACGGGCUCGAGCUCAACCACGUCGCCCGACGCUACAACGAGACUGCGGACGAGCUGGCUAAAAUAGCCUCGGGGCGAACAACGGUUCCCCCGGACAACUUGUUUAUUUCAUAACUUUUGCAUAUGAACUACAAAUUUAGUGAUUCAAAUUGCAAAAUGUUCAUAGAAUUAUUCUCUGUUUAAAUAAAAUGGUUUCACUUACUGUCUACACACUCUAAUUUUUAGGAUUGAAUAUGAACUAAUGUAGAUGUAUUUUUAUUUAUUUAAUAAAAUAAAUAAAAGGAGAACCUUAGAGAUUUAAACAUGUGUAAGCUUGUGGGAUUAAUAAUGUGUAUUACAUGAGUUUACCUCUGUUCUAAAUUUUAGGUCACAAUAAAAUAAGUUGAACUAUGUUUAUGUACUUGUAAGUAACACUUAGGGAAAUAAUAAUCUAUUUUCAAAUAAAGUUAAUGUAUGUUAUAGUUUAUGUUAUACUUUGAAUUCAUUAUCCCUUAUGUAGUAUUAUGUCUUUUAAGAUGUGUUCCAAUGUCUGUACAUGUUUGGUGUGAUGUUCAUUUGUACUUUCCAAAUGUAUUGAAUGCAUGCUCGCUUUAUCUAGACAACGAGCAGUCCGAGGUUCCUGAGUGCCUUGUUGGAGACCUCCCUGAGCAACCACCUAGUGAAGGCAAGUGUCCUCUGACCCAUUAUGUCCUACAUACUUUAUGAUUCACUGUCCCGCAUUACUUUAUGAAACCUAAGGAUUAACUAGUCUGUAUUCACUUAUCCUUGUUUACCUUUUUAGGUUAUCAUGGUUAGCAUGUUGCUAUUUCCUUAACUUAAUCAAUGAACAUGAUGUGAAUAUUUAUGAUACGAUAUUGUUAUCCUGAUUAUGUGGAUGAUCUUGUGAUACCUUAGGGGGCUCAGGCCUUUUUCCUGAGUACCUCUCUAUAAGGACCUGUUCGUGGAGUGAUCACCUGGGAUAACAGUACAACCAUGAGGGUGGAAUGGGACACCCUUAGCUGAUUAAUUAGAUGAACCUAGGGGUGUAGUUGGCUUUGCUGGAGGGGCAUAAAUGGGGUCCGGGGCGUAGUGCUCGCUCUGCCAAGGUUAGGGUGCAGAGGUUCUUUCGAUUUGGUUUUGUUAGUCACCCAUCUUGGGGAGGUGUACUGCGUUUGUACGACUGGCGAAACCUAACGAGCAGCUAUGCACCAGGGGAGUCUUUGUAAAGGCUACAUAGUGUAUCCCUGGCCAUUCACCUUGGUAGUGAAGAUCGGGUAUGUACAACCCUGGCUGGAAAGGGAUCACGACUUGUGGGUAAAGUGUACAACCUCCGCAGAGUGUUAAAAACUGGUAUAUCAGCCGAGCUCACGGUUAAGAGCAGCCUUGGGAUCCUUUUUGAUUAGAAGAACUUUGGAUACUAUUAUGUUGAUGAUUAACAAUGAUGUUAUAAAAUCUGAUCUCUGGUAUUUCCUCUUUUGAGGAUGUACUUCUGGGUAAUAACUGGGUUUAUUACUAAAACCUGGCUCUACUAAUAAUAAUAAAUACUUGACCAACUAAAAGCAACUGCUUAACCUCAACUCCAUAUACAGCUAGUCCACUUUAGCCAAACAAGACAUUUGCUGAGUACGUUGAUGUGUACUCACCCUUGCUUUACACACCACCCCCACCCCAGGUUGUCCCCAAUGUACCCAAUGCUCAGGAGGUGAUGCUGGCAACAUGGAUGACUUCGAGGAGUUCCAGGAAUACGACGAAUUCUAGUUCUUUCUUAGUGGCAAACCUCCAGUCAGCUGCCUGUGUAGGCUUAGCUUCUACGUUUCGUAAUUCCGCACUUUGAUAAUUAUGUUGAACAAUGGUUAUGUAAUAGACUCUGAGGAUGUCUUGGACAUCUUGAUGUAAUCAAAUACCUUUCCGCUAUUUAUUUCGAGCAUUGUGUGAUGAUGUCCAAUUAUGUAAUCGGUGUAUACGUGAGUUUCUGAUCUUGGCACGUAUAUGGUUCGCAUUCGGUUUGCCUUCCAAACCGGGUGUGACAAAUGUUUACCUUCGAAGGUUCAGAUGGAUAUUGCAUGUUUAGUGUUUCAAGUUCUUUCUUGUGGUUUUCAGACAAGUGUUUAGAUAUUGAUACGAAUAAGCCAUCUACGAUGUCACAGACCAGUGUAAAAUAUGUAAUUAUAAUGACUGUUUUAGGUAAUUAAAUUGUGCAUUCUCAUAAUCUUACCUCGAAAUAAUGUUCCUUAAUCCCCAUUUCAGCAUCAAGACCAACGAAAUCACAGAGAUGCCUGUGUAUGUUUGUAUUUUCUGCUCUAAACCCAGGUCUGGCCUCAAAUACUCCUUUUGGCUAAAUGGUGGUCCUCAUUGGCAAAACCACGUAAGUGGUUAGGGCGUGUAUCAACAGAUGCCUGCUUUCCAUUUCAUUUUGUGUGAGGCUUCGAAGCCAUCCAAAAAAUUACUUACACACUCAUCAUUCUUCCAAGCUUUCAAGUGCUUAAUUUCUUGUUAAUAGCAGUCAAAAUAUUUUAGAUUGGUCUGAGAACAAAGUCCUUGAACUCCACCCAUAUGAUAUUUUUAUGUUAACGGUUGGACAAGAUACUAUCUUGUUUGUAUCUGGCGUCAUGGAUUUGACAGUUUUUAUGGUCUUAUGUACUAAUUUAAAUUUAAAUAUUCUAUAGUUUGCUGAGUCCAUUUCCACUGGCAAGCGGUAUGCAACCGAAAGUUGCGGUUUCAUUUUUUUAUCUAUGAAUCUAUUAUAAAUAAAAGCUGAAGUAAGAGUACACUUGUUUGUAAUAUUUCAAAAACAGACCAUGUCAUUUCUAUUUCGUGCUGCCAGAUUUCAGAAGCUGGUAUUUUACAAGUAGCAACAGUGAUGGGAUUUGAUGAUGAACUAGAUGUAGCAGAUGGCAUUGGAGAAGCUGAUGUGAUUCUUGCAUCAAGUUUUGAAAUGAAGCAAAAUCUCUGGAUUAGUAAUGCUGCCAAGUACCACAAGCUUCCCAUAUUUGUUGCCAAGAUGAUUGUGCUUGCAUUGACAUACUUCUUUUUUUAUAUUGUAAAUGGCAGACUAAUACGAUGGCUCAAAUAGUUAAUGCUAUCAGAAUGCCUCGCAAGACGAACAUGGACUGAGACAAUAUUUUAAAUAUGAACACGGAAAUUGCAACAUACUUUAAUGUAAAUUGCAGCAUAUUUCAAUGUUAAAGAUGAACAUGACUGGGACAGCUUGGUUAUCAUAUUACUAGAUUGGACCAUAUGCUGAAUGGUUGAACUCAAGCAUAAUAAAAGCUUACCUUCUACAAACUACUGAUGACCAUCUUCAUGAUGGUACCACUGCAUUUUCAAGUUUAGAAAGAUUAUACACAUGGUAUAGUUCAGCUAUACAAUCUUGACCAUUUAGGUAACACACCUCGCUCUUGCAACAAACAUAAUCUGAUCGUGUGGGUAUUUCACCAGAAUAGGCAAUGGAAAUUAAAACUUUGAGGUGCGUAAUUUGAUAUACAAACAUAAUAUUCUGAUACUGUUGGUAAGAGGGCAGGAUGCCAUUUUUCAGUAUUCCUUGUAUCAUGAGACCAUAUAUGAUCUAUUAACAACAUAUCUGUAGUAGAGAAUACAUGUAUCAGUGCACCUCAUAAGAGGACUACGGUGGUAGUUUCAUGGUGGCAAGGAUAGCAACAAAAUGAAAGUGGAACACCCAAAAUACUGAAAGGAGGCAGAGUCCGUGUAUUCGAAUUGAGGUUGUCUUUUAUGUAAAUCAAAUUGAACCGCCAAAAAAAUUCAAUGGUUUUAUUAAUAUGCAUCACAUUUGGAUAUGAGCAUGAAAAUAAGUGCAAGAUAAAGUGACCUUGAUAUAGCGUCCGAUAGGGCGUUUUUUUCUAGUACUCUUCUAAAACUACAACACCCAAGCAUGUUGUAGAAGAGCGUGUUGUAGCUUGAUUUUUAUGUUUGUUUUUGAAGUUCAUGAUAGAGAGCCUCUUGGAAAUGCUUCUUAGCAAACUAGACAAGGCAUGACUUGUGGACCGACGACAAAGGAGUCCUUGAUGAGCAGCUUAUCCUAGAAGAUGUCUAUCUAAAAUGUUUUUACUGUUUUUUUGAAUCUACCAGUUUUUUUAGAUAGGACGACGUCCCGACCACACCAGCUAUUUAGGCUAGGCUUUCACCACUUGAGCACACUCAGCCCCGUUUGGUUCCAUUAGUCCUAUUAAUAAAGUUUAGUCUAGGGACUAAAGUUUAGUCCCUACCCUAUUUAGUUGUUAGGACUAAACAGAUUUUAAAUACAUUAAAUGCAACACAUAAAGACCAAAAUAUCACUUUACUUGUUUCAGGUCAGUUUUUAGACUAGGGCAAUUAGAGUAAAUAUUGCCCUUUAGUCCCUUUUAGCACACAUGUGAGGAACUAGAGACUAAAUCCAAUUAGUCUCUAAUUUAGUUCUUUCGUUUGGUAAAAUAGAGACUAAAAAUUAGUCCCUCUAACUAAGGGGGUGUUUGGUUAGAGGGACUAAAGAUUAGUCUCUAGUUUUUAGUCCCUUUUUUGCCAAACACUAGGAUUAAAAUAUGGACUAAAAUGAUUUAGUCUUUAGUUCUUCACAUAGGUGCUAAAAUAGACUAAAAGCCCAUAAUUAUCAUGUUGCCCUUACCUUUUUAUAGAUAUAUCUAAUAUCUUGUUAGAUGUUUGUUAGACUAGUUUAUCUGAUAAUUCAAGAUGUAAUAAACUUUCUAUAAGUUUGUUGGCUGUUUGCCUAUAUUAACAUGCAACCAUGAUGGCCAAGGGCUCAUUCACGUUACCAUCAAUUAAUUCACUAUUCGGAGCCACUCUUCCCACAAAUACAUCUAGUCCUAUCUCUCCCAUGGCGACUUCAUCCUCCACCAAUUCGCCGCAGAUCCUUGGUCUAGCUAUCUUUAAGAAGCUAACCCGGGAGAACUACCUUCUCUGCAAGGCACAGAUCAUGCCUACCAUCCGCGCGCGGUGCCCAGCUCGUCGGGAUUCUGGACGGCACUAUCGCUGCUCCGACCAAGACCAUGAAGGUCAUCGACGACAAGAAGACUGAAGCCACGAUACCCAACCCAGACUAUGAGACCUGGUUGGCUCUAGGGGCCUGUUUGGUUUGUGGCUAAAUGUGCCACACUUUGCCUAAGGUUAGUCGUUCGAAUUGAAUAACUAACCUUAGGCAGAAAAGUUAGGUAAAGUGUGGUAACUGAGGUAGUGAACCAAACAGGCCAUAGAUCAGCAACUAUUGGUGUAUCUUCUCAACUCGCCGACGAAGAAAGUGUUGGUCCAAGUGGUCACCUCACGUCUACAGCAGAAGUGUGGGCGUCUCUUUGAGGGGAUGUUCGUGGCACAAUACCGUGCACGUGCAACCAAUCUCCUCGUGGGGCUUGUCAGCUGCAAGAAGGACAUUAUGACUAUGGCUGCCUACUACUCUCAAGUCCCAAUUCCCAAAUGAGGAGUAUUGGCGAUGAACUAACUCGCUACCAUUAGCAAAAAGAUUAGUGAUGAUGAGAUGGUCUCGUUCAUCCUUAAUGGACUAGACUUCGAUACAACUCCGUGUCAUCGUCCAUUCUUGGACGUCAAGUUUCUGCCUCUUAUCCAAAGAAUUGAAAAGAGAUUGUUAUGUUCCUCAAAUUUUUUAUCUCAGGCUGAACGUUUGGAGUUGGUAAAUUCAGUAUUUACGGCUUUGCCAACCUUCUUUAUGUGUACGCUCAAGAUUCCAAAAUCUAUCAUUAAGCAGAUAGACAUUUACAUGAAGCAUUGUCUUUGGAGAGGGAAUGACACAAGCUCCAAAAAACCGCCUCUGGUUGCUUGGUCUACGGUUACUCAGAGAAAAGUAAAUGGAGGUCUUGGGGUGUUACGCCUUGAAACUCAAAAUGAUGCUUUUCUUCUAAAAUUCUUUCAUAAGUUCUUCAAUAGUUAUGAUUUACCUUGGGUAAAUAUCAUCUGGAAUAAAUAUUAUACGUCCAACGGACUUCCUGGUCAUAGAAGAAUUGGCUCCUUAUGGUUGAAGAGUAUACUCAAACUUCUUCACAACUUUAAGGGCCUGGCGCAUCCAAUCAUUGGCAAUGGUAGAUCAAUUUUUUCCUGGGAAGAUCAGUGGACUAAGAGUAUUCCAAGACAACAAUAUCCAGAAUUAUUCUCUUUUACAAAAAGCACAAAACUGUCUAUCGCAGAGGUUAAGGAACAAGAUAAUCUCUUUCGUAUUUUUCAAUUGCCUAUUUCUGAGCAAGCUUAUGAACAAUAUCUGGAGCUACAGGUAGUCUGGGAGCAAAUUGUCCUCAGUAAUGUAAAGGACCGAUGAAGAUACAUAUGGGGCUCAAACAGCUAUUCAACUCAAAAAGCUUACAGACAUUUAAUGGGACAGACACAAGUUCACUCUAUCUACAAGCACCUAUGGAAGAGUAAAUGUCAACCAAAGCAUAAAGUCUUCUAUUGGCUAUGGCUUAAAAACAGACUCAAAACCAGGAAUAUGCUGUGAAGGAAAAACAUGAUUCUAGAAUCAUACUCAUAUGAGAACUGUUUAUGGCAAAGAGAGGAGACUCUUUAUCACCUGUUUCUGAGAUGCAACUUUGCAAAAGCUUGUGGGAACUCAAUUAGAAUAACCCCACCCAGAAUUGCUCAUACAGAGGAGGUCUCGGAAAACCUCAAACAACAGCUUAACGUUCCUUUUUCUAUGGAGGUCAUCAUUAUUAUGACAUGGAGCAUUUGGAAAAGCCGCAAUGAAUGGUUGUUUGAAAAUAAAGACCCUUCAGUGCAUCACUGUACGCAGGAAUUCAGUAAGGAACUACGGUUGGUUAUUCACAGAGCGCGCGGUAAAUAUGACAUCUCCAUUCCAAACUGGUUGGAUUUGUGGCAGUCAUAAGAUUUGUUUUGCUCUGACCAAUCUUUGUAACUUUUCAAUUAGAUCUUUCAGUCUAACAUAUAACUCUAGUAACCAAGUCGAGUUGUACCUUUUCAUAUUUAAUAAAAAUUCUCAGUAGGGGUCUCCCCUCCUGAUCUUUCAAAAAAAAAGAUUCAGUAUCUUUAGGAGAUCUGUACUCUGAGUUGAUCUCCUAUGAUAUUCGCCUUCAAUAGCAGAUCCAACAAGAAAUAGGAGGGAAUUUCCAGUCAUCGGCCAAUGCUACAUCCCAUGGCCGAGGAGGACAGCAUGGUCGCAGCACCUACCGUGGCCGUGGUCAGAAACAACAACCAUGGAGGUUUUUCCAAGCAAACAAUGCAGACUAACAAGCGAACAUGCCAGAUCUGCAAGAAGAUUGGUCAUGAGACAUUUGACUGCUAGCAUCGUUAUGAAGAGAAUUACCAGGGAAAGGUUGUUGGCUCGGUCGUCAUAAAUUAUUUUAUUGAUACAAACUGGUAUGCAGAAUUGCAGAUAGCGAUGUCACCUAUCAUAUCACAGGUGAACUAGAGAAACUCACCAUCAGUGGACAAGAUCAAGUGCACACUGCCAACGGAUCGGGUAUGUAAAUUAGUAAUAUUGGUCAUUCGGUUUUACAUACCCCUAGUAGUGGUUUGCAUCUUAGAAAUAUUCUUCAUGUUUCUAGGUCCAGUAAAAACCUUGUUUUUGUUCACCGAUUAGCUACUAACAAUAAUGCAUUUCUUGAAUUUCAUCUAAAUUGCUUCAUCAAGGACAAGGCCACGGAGAGAAGUCUUCUUCAAGGUAGAUGCGAGGGAUGUCUCUAUCCACUCGUAUCAAAACAGUCAAGAUCCAAGACCAGUAGACAAGUCCUUGGUGUCAAUAGGCCAUCGACAGCCCAAUGGCAUAGUCGCCUUGGCCAUCCUGCCAUUUUAAUAGUCAAGCAAGUUAUUAGAAACUUUAAUCUUCCUGUUUCCAAUGGUUUGAGUCAUGAGAGUGUGUGUGGUCAUUGUCAACAAGCAAAAAGUCACCAAUUACCUUACCCCAAGUCUACUAGUGUGUCUAAAUCACCUCUUGAACUCAUAUUCUCUAAUGUCUGGGGUCGUGCACCCAUGUCUGUAGGGAGACACACUUAUUAUGUAAGUUUUAUUGAUGAUUAUAGCAAAUUUACUUGGAUUUAUCUCUUUAAACACAAAUAUGAUGUCUUUCAAGCCUUUCACAAUUUUCAUAAUCUUGUUGAAAGAAAAUUGAAUAAAAAGAUCCUUGUUAUGCAAUCGGACUAGGGAGGCGAAUAUGAAACACUAAACUCUUUCUUCCAACAGAUAGGAAUAUCUCAUCGUGUUUCUUGUCCUUAUGCCCACCAACAAAACAGAUCAACAGAAACAAAACACAGACAUAUAGUAGAAGUUGGUUUUGCACUUAUAGCAAAUGCAUCUAUGCCUCUUAAAUUUUGGGAUGAGACAUUUCUUACUGUUGCAUAUCUCAUAAACAUUCUUCCCAUAAAAUUCUUGAACCAACACUCCCAACAAAUUUUUUUCAAAAGAAACCUACCUAUACGUCCCUUCGGAUUUUUGGGUGUGCAUGUUGGCCCUGUUGAGUUUGUGAUCCAAAUUCUGAAGAAGGCGGCCAAGUUGGCAUCGCUACGCUUCGGCUCGUCGCCGAUACGGAUCGUUCCCUACUCACAUUAGGGUUUCACUAUUUUCUUUUCUGUUUUCAUUGCCCCUUUCUUUCUCUUUGUUCUUCCUACUGGAGGGCUCUAUCAAAGAGUAUUACCAUCCCAUAGAGGAGGAAACCAAAGAUUAUGAACGAUGUAGCACAAUCUUCAACCCAAGAAUCACCAAGUAUUGUGAUCUCAGGGGCGAGGGAGUGUAAAAGGAGUUGCUCGCGAUUAGGUAGAGGGGGUUUUAUCAGGUGUGUGCUUUGAGCAUGAUGGAACUGAGGGGGCUGGUGGGAGGUUUUAUAGGCGAGCAGUAUGCGAGGUGGUGCUUAGGGUGUGGAGUGGUGGUGAUGGAGCAUGUGCCAUGUGGCAGAAGGUGCGACAAAGGGGAGUGGGCCUGGUGUUGCUGGUGGUGGGUGCGCAGCAAAGGGGGUGUGGGCGGUGGUAGUGCGCAUGGAGGCAAUGCACUUGUGCGGGGGCACGAGUGAGUGGUGGGGUCGAUGACCUUGAUGUUUAUGGUCUCUGGUUCCAAGAAUCUUUGCCUCUGUGUAUGGUAAUAAAUUUUUCUGUGCUCGUUUCCUGUUUACAUUAACUUAGGGGCAAUGCUUUGAUUCUCAUGGUUGGUCCUUUGGACUAAUUGACCAGAUCGGUCCCUUCCAGCCUUCAAGGAUUAGCUUUCCGGUACCUUCUUGGGUAAGAUGCUUUUCUCUUGAGAUGGGUUAAGAGGAGAAUGGAACCAUAAGGUGAGGAUUAGCUCUAAUUUGUGAUUUAUGUUUUUAGAGAAAACCACUUUUUGAAAAAGAAAACUGACAAGCUUAGCAUAAAUAAAUCAAAUGUUUUGAAUGGGAGGGGAGUAGUGUUUUCCAAAGCACAAACUACUCGGAUUCGAGGGCUAAGCGUAACUACUACUGCUUGGCUUCUAAACUUGACUCAAAUUCUGGUUGCUUUGGAUGCCUUUGAGGAAGAUGAGAGUGCUAAGAACAUUCCCAUUUCCUUCUUCUCUUGGUCGCUGAAGGGUUGCCUUGAGACUCUUUCUUGAGUAGACGAGCUUUCUGCUGAUUCUCCAAGAACUUGAUGGACUGUGCCUGCUGUGAAAGCAAGACCUUGGAUGUUGCACUACCUGAAGCACUCGACAAAGCCUAAAAAACACUCGGCAAAGAGAGCUCGGCGAACGGUACAUCGACAACGGCUUCUUUGCCAAGUACUUUAUAUCAGGCACUCGACAAAGACUUUGCCGAGUGUCACUCGGUACUCGGCAAAGAAAAGCCGCCAUCACGAUGACUGGUAAUGGAGACGGCGCCUUUGCCGAGAGCCGAUGUACUGUUCACGGCUAGGUUUCUACACAUACUGCGUCACAACUUUCUCGAAACAUUUUCAAUUUUUUAUCACAGUCUGUACAUAUGAUAUCAUGACAUAUGGACAAGUUUCAUGAUUUUCUGAUUUUUUUGUGUUUUAUACAAUUUUAAACAAUUGCAUGGCAAGUUCACAGUCAUGUUUAGUGAGCAUGGUGCUCCAAGAUUCUGGUCUGUUCUUGAAAUUGGUCGUAACUUGUGUUAAAUAACAUGGAUAUCAUUUUUGCGUGCACGGUUUUCCAUAUUUCGAGGACUUACAUUUCAAAUGUGAAUUAUCCGAGUAAAUUCAAUUAAACGAACUAAAUCUAAUAGUUAUAGAAAACACUUUUAUAAUUGUAUCAAAAUGAUACAUGUAGGUCUACAUAAUGUAGGAACAUACCCAAAAAGUUUGGUUGGGAAAAUAAAAAAAUAAAAAUAUACUUUGCCGAGUGUAAAAAAUGGCACUUGGCAAAGCAUGCUCUGCCGAGUGUUAGCCGUUUGACACUCGGUAAAGAAGCUUCUUUGCUGAGUGCCAAAGCUCGGCGCUCGAUAAAGAUAACGGCCGUCAGCUAUAGACGGCUGCUGACGGCCCUUUGCCGAGCGCCGCCAUUCGCCAAGUGUUUGGCACUCGGCAAAGGUUUCUUUGCCGAGAGUCCUACUCUCGGUAAACACGGUCAUUACCGAGAGCUGGAAUUUACCGAGUGCCCGACAGAAAGCACUCGGCAAAGAGCCGAGCACUCGGUAAAGAGCCGGAUUCUGGUAGUGUUGGUGAUGACUAUGGUUUCUCUUAGAAUUCUUGUUACAUCAACGAAUGCCAUUAUUUCCAAGUUCCUUGUGGCUGCAUUCUGACUUCGGGCAUCGACUAGAUCCUUUUGGCACUGCAGUAAUAGGUUUUCUGCUUUAUCUACUCGCAUGGUUGUUUUUCUGCAACUGAGUGACUAUCUUGUCACACUUUUCAUCCAAGGCAAGCAGAUAGAGGACAAGGUAUGCUGUUGUGGGAUCUCCAAUAUGCCUUUGCUCUCUCAAAGCUUGCACUUAGGCCUUCCACUCUUGAUGGGUCUUGUGGAGAGAUGGAAAGAAUCUCAUGGGGUGGUUCCCACUUCUUCCUAGUAGACCGAGCAUAGUGUCCUCAGCGCUUCACGAGCCACGAGAUGGCAAGUGUCUUUGAACCUAUGCCCAGUUGUCAUGGAACACCAUCUAGAUUGCCGGUUACUUGACCCAAUGUACGUGGUAACCAUGUACUUCUUUUUACCAUGUUCCAUGAACUCCAUUCCAAAGUAUUAUGGGUAACCAGGGAUUCCAAGGCAUGUUACUUUGAGUUUAUUCCGCAUUAUUUGGAAGCAACACAUUUACAAGAAAAGGACAUACUCGAAUCAUUAUUCAUCUUGUUUGACCGCUAACUAGAGGAUUAAGUUUUGUUUGAAGUUAUAAAUUUUAGGUUUGCCUAUUCACCCCCGUCUAUAUGACUAUUAGAAGUCAAGAAAACCAAUGGUGGGAUCAUACUAUCUCAAGAAAAAUAUGCUCUUGAUAUACUGAAGAAAGUUGGUAUGAGCAAGUGCAAACCAUGAACUACUCCUCUAUCUGUUUCAGAGAAACUUUCUAGGUAUGAAUAAAAAUCUCUUGGAUAAAAGGACGAUACAAAGUACAGAAGCAUAGUUGGAGCUCUUCAAUAUCUCACCCUUACUCAACCAGAAUUGGCCUUUCUAGUUAAUAAGGUCUACCAAUAUUUACACUCACCAACUUAUUCACAUUGGACUAUAGUUAAAAGGAUAUUGCGCUAUGUCAAGUACUCAUGUGAUUUAAGAAUUAGGAAGUCAGCAUCAAGCCUGGUCACUGCCUUCUCUGCUGCAGAUUGGACAAGCAAUGUAGAUGACAGAAGUUGUACUAGUGGGUUUGCUAUGUUCUUUGGACCCAACCUUGUUUCAUGGAGUGCUAGAAAACAACCUACGAUGGCAAGAUCCAACACAUAAGCUAAGUACAAAUCCUUGGCGAAUGCAACAACAGAAAUUAUUUGGGUUGAGUCCUUUUUGAAAAAAACUUGGAAUUAAACAAGAACAAUCUCUGUGUCCGUGGUGUGAAAACUUAGGAGCCACUUAUCUCUUAGAGAAUCCAGUGUUUUAUGCAAUGGUUAAGCAUAUCGAGAUUUAUUUUCAUUUUCUGUGGGAGAGAGUUGCACAGAAAAAGAUGUAGAUUCGACUUAUUCGAUCCCAAGAUCAAAUAGCUGAUGGUUUUACUAAAGCCCUUUCCAUGCAAAGCUUUCAAAUGUUCAAGAACAAUCUUAAUCUAUUCACAAAACCAGGUUAACGUUGAGGGAGGUUGUUAGGAAUAUCUAGUAUUCUGUUAGAUAUAUCUAAUAUCUUGUUAGAUGUUUUGUUAGAUUGGUUUAUCUGAUAAGUUAACAUGUAACAAAUUUCUUGUAAAUCUGUUGGUUGUUUCCCUAUAUUAACAUGCAACCGUGAAGGCUAAGGGCUCAUCCACGUUACCAUCAAUUAAUUCUCAAAUAUUUGUACGCGUUAUGUUCAAAACCUAUUAUGAUGGCCACACGAUCCUUAAUAAGUCCAAUAAACUACUCCCUUAGUUUUUUAUUUAUCGUGUUUUAGUUCAAAAAUAAACUAGCGGGAAACAAAUAUUCGAGAACGGAGGGAGUUAUUCAAAAUCUCAUCUUGCAUUCUUACUCUGAUCCCAACCUUCGUCCAGCCCUCCAGUCAUGUUUAUCAAUUAUCAAAAAUUUAGAUCAUUUCUCAAGUUAAUUGUUUAUUAGUUGAAGCCUUUUCAUCUAUGAUUAUUGGAGGAAACUAACAAAAGGACAAUAUAUUAUAUUUGUCACAAGUCACUACACCUUUAGUGCAUCAGUUUCUUCGUACGUCGCCUGACUCUACUCCUCCCACUCGUGGAACCGAUUGGAUCGCUCGCCCUCGGCUGCCCCUCCCGCUGGAAUAAACAAAAAAUAGGGCUUUGAAGCCUUUUAAUUUAUGACUAUUUUGGAGAAAAAUAACAAAAGGAUGGUACAUUGUACCUGGUCACAAGUCACUACACCUUUAAUGCACGAGUUUCUUCGUGCGUCGCCUUGGCUUCUCCUCCCACUUGCAUGCAAAACGCUCGUCCUGGCUGCCCCUCUCGUUGGAAUAAACAAAAAAAUUGGGGCACAAAUAGCAUGUUUCAAACCCUGCUUGCACGAGUCAAACCAAACAUACUCUACUACUAUAGUGCACGCCUAUUUAUAUUAUACAUAGAAGAGGUAUUGUAAUUAUAUAUACUAAUAAUUAGAAAAACAUUUAAAAAAUAUAAUAAUGUUUGAAUAAAUAUAUUAUUUAAACAAGAUACAUGUAUCUAUAAGAUAUAUAGAAACUAUAGCAAUGUAGGAGCAACUCACUAGUAACUACAUAAUGUGGUGGUAGGGAUGUUAGCACGAGACGAGAGAUGAUGGGUUUCAAUAUCCAGGGGUGUAUAUUUUUGAAAAUUGCAAGAUUAAUAUUUGCACUAUAGUAGACCCUAUCCAUUCCAAAAAAACGGUUUAAUAUUUUUGCAAUUUUAAAAAAUUUCAAAUCAACCAUUAUGCCCCAUUUAAUAAGUAGUGGCAUGGUAGGGGUUCCCAAAAACUGCCCUUAAAUUGAUAUUGGUCAUCUCUAAGAAUCAUUUGUUUCGUAGUGUGAUCAAUUUCAUCUCAAGGAAACAUAGUUGAAAGCAUUUUAACAACCUUCACAUAGCCGGAUUUCGGUCGGCACGAUAGUCAAACCACUUAAAUUUUGUGCACCAUGUUGGAAGUUGUCGACGUGAUGUAAGCCCUCUUAUUUUUUUUUCAUGGUUCAUUGUAAAAUUUAGUGACAUUGUUUUUUACAGUAUACAAUGUAUUCGUCGAUAAUGUGGUCAGGUCAAACUUUUAAAGGUGUUCAUAGAGUUAAAUCUAGUAUCUAUGUGCGUCGGUGCACGCAUCCCUAAUAUUUAAUUCGUAAUAAAAAAUUACUUAAAUCUUGGUGAUGUAUUCUCAAAACGGCACUUAUUCAAGGGCCUAUUUAUUUCAGCUUAUAAUUUGAUCAGAUUAUAUAAUCUAACUUAAAUAAUAUAGAUGUAAAAUAAAUAGGUUCAUUAUUUAGGUAGAUUAUAUAAUUUAGUGGUCAAAUUAUCAUAAUCUCAUAAGCUACUUAACACAAACUUAUUUCAACUUUUUAUAUAAAAGCCCUAUUACUCAUGACAACUUGAGGUCAUCAUUUUCUUCUAUUUUUUCUUGCUCCGCCACACAACAUAUGAAAAAAAAUCAAUAAUUAAAGGUCCAAUAAGGUGGAUUGUCAAAUAGCCAACACACAGAUUAUUUAAUCUAGAUCUAGAUUAUUUAAUCUCGUAUAUAAUCUAGAUUAUAUAAUCUAUAAUCUGAUAUAUUGCGUAAGUACCUUCAAUAUCUAAUUCUGACAUGAUCUAUCUUGAGAGUCAUUCGUUUCGUUAACUUUUUUCUACUAUUAUAAAGCACCAGUUUCUAUGGUUAUCUCGUGUCACGCGCAAAGCAUGUAGAUCUAUUUCUCUCGUCUUAUUUGUGGUCCGUUAUCCUAUAGAUGGUCCAUGAAAUUCACCUAAGCCUAAAUGAUCGUGAGAAACCACUUAAGUCUAAUACGACAGGAAGCCGUAUGUAGAGCAACGCUCUCACAUGGUACCACUCCGCCAGCUAAAGGAGCACGAGCAACCGAGUGAGGUAUAAAAAAGGUUUAGUUCCUUUUUAACUAAUAUAUUUCUAGACCUUUUGACUAAAAAUAAAGUAUAAUAUUUGUUCUUAUAUGUUCUCGCAACACAUAUGCAUUAUACUAGUUGCGAGAAACUCCAAUAGUUCUUUAAAAAAUGGCUUGUUAAAGUCAUAUUUAGCAAGUUGCUAAAUAAAUAUUGAAAGUAAAAAAUAGCUUGGUCUCCAAUAGUUGAUCAUAUUUAGGGAGUAGUUCGAUUUUGAAUUUAGCUUUGGUAGGCCUGCCCCCGACGGGUCUGGCUAAUGACAAAGUUGAGAGCAGAGGAUGUAAAGGGUGGAGGAGAAAAGGUCGGUCGACACGACCUGUGGAGGAGCGGUGAUCCGUGGGCACAACCUAUGGGGCAGCAGUGGUCCAACGGUGCAGAAAAAGCCUGUGUCACACGUGUUGGACAUAGCUGUCUCACUGUGCGGGAAAGUAGAAAAAAAGAAUGUGGUGCACUUGGCUAUCUGAGUGUAUGAGAAAGCGAAAAAAUGAGCACGCUAGUGUGAAGAAAUUGACAGUAACUAUGUCUAUGGAGUUCAUAUCGAGUUGCUAAAUGUGGAGAGUAAAUAAGAUUAGAUAGCAAGUAACUAAAUUUAUCAAGUCUAUUUAAAAUAUUAUGGAGAAACAUUUUCUAUUGAUUUUUUAAAUAUAAAAAUUUAGAAGUUGUUUACAGAACUAUCAGAGUUGCUCUUACAAUAUGCCACUAUGGAUGGAAAAGCAUGAUAAUAGACGUACUUUCCAUAUGUGGCCAAGGCGACGAGUGCUUGGCAGCAAGAGGUUGAAGGGCCAUGCCACGUGGGUAGGUAGGCUGGCCAAAGAUAUCUCGAUCCUACGUGGCCCAAUGGAGCGCGGGCACACGGAUAUCGCAGCCAAUGGCGGGUGGGUUAUGGAUAUCCCCAUCCCGCCUCGUCUUCGGCCGCUCGCGCUCUUAAUAGCAGCCUCAGAUUCUACUCGGCUCUCAAACGCCACUUGUUCUCCCUCCCUCUCUGCCUGACCAGCUAGGAUCAGCGGAAGCAGCAAUGGUGAUGGCGUCGUCGAGCGGGCUGAGGAGCUGCAGCGCCGUGGGCGUGCCCAGCCUGCUGGCGCCGUCGUCCCGGUCCGGCCGCCUGGCGCCGUUCUGCGCCAACGCCACCACCUCUGGCCGCGUCACCAUGUCCGCGGAGUGGAUGCCCGGCCAGCCACGCCCUGCCCACCUCGACGGCUCCUCUCCCGGGUAAGCAAGCAGAAGCAGGCUAGCUAGCGACUGAUCGAGUGACAACGGCGUGCUCUGCUCUCCCUGUCUCUCUGACGAGUGUUGACAUACAGGGACUUCGGCUUCGAUCCGCUGGGCCUCGCGACCGUGCCGGAGAACUUCGAGCGGUUCAAGGAGUCAGAGGUGUACCACUGCCGCUGGGCCAUGCUUGCCGUCCCCGGGAUCCUGGUGCCGGAAGCUCUGGGCCUGGGCAACUGGGUGAAGGCGCAGGAGUGGGCGGCCGUCCCCGGCGGGCAGGCCACGUACCUGGGCGCCCCGGUGCCGUGGGGCACGCUGCCGACCAUCCUGGUGAUCGAGUUCGUGGCCAUCGCCUUCGCCGAGCACCAGCGCACCAUGGAGAAGGACCCCGAGAAGAAGAAGUACCCCGGCGGCGCCUUCGACCCGCUCGGCUUCUCCAAGGACCCCGCCAAGUUCGAGGAGUACAAGCUCAAGGAGAUCAAGAACGGCCGCCUCGCCAUGCUGGCCUUCGUCGGCUUCUGCGUCCAGCAGUCGGCGUACCCCGGCACCGGCCCGCUGGAGAACCUCGCCUCCCACCUCGCCGACCCGUGGCACAACAACAUCGGCGACAUCAUCAUCCCCAGAUCAAUCUCCCCUUGAGCUCAGCUCAGCUGCUGGUUGCUGUUUCCUGUGUACGACUAGGCCCUGCCUGUACAACGAGCGACGACGGUGACUUCCCGCCCGGAAAUUAAACCCUCGUAAUGUAAAGCUUAUGUUAUUAAGUAGCGGCUACUCUUGUAGUCUUGUCUGUAUCAAAUAUAAACUGGUUUGUUAGCUGAAUCCCAAGGUUAUUUCUGAGCCUAACCAGGGGAAAUUUAGCUCAAAACGGAGAAAAUACAUACGAGACCUUUGAUAACUACAAAGUAUUGUAUUUCAUGAGCUAGACACGAUGUUUUUUUUUAAGAUUCACGAGGGAGAGCCUCUACUGAGAUUUUAUUAGAAAUGACAAAAGAAAAUGUUACAACUUAGCCUAGUUACAAAACGUAAUCCAAAAGAUCUAAUUAUGUAGUUUACAAGCAAUGUAGCAAGUAGAACAACUCUUAUGUCUGCCACGAACUCAGCCAAUUCGGGAUGAAAAUGUAAAAUUCACACGCGCUCUGUUAAUGAUCAACCACAGCUCCUUACAGAAUUCUUGCGUACAGUGAUAAACCGAAGGAUCUUUAUUUGUAAAUAGCCAUUCAUUUCGGCUUUUCCAGAUGCUCCAAGUCAUGAGAAUGAUAAUCUCCAUAGAGAAAAGGACGUUAAGUUGGUGUUUAAGGUUUGCUGAGGCCUCCUCUGGAUUAGAAAUUCUGGGGGUUAUUCCAAUUGAGUUCCAGGAGGCUUUUGCAAAAUUGCAUCUGAGGAACAAAUGAUAAAGCGUCUCCUCCCUUUGCCAUAAACAAUUCUCACAUGAGUAAGAUUCCAGGGUCAUGUUUUUCCUUCUUAGCAUAUCUCUGGUAUUUAGUCUAUUUUUAAGCCACAGCCAAUAGAAAACUCUAUGCUUAGGUUGGUGCUCUUCCAUAAGUGUUUGUAGAUAGGGUGAACCUGCGUCUGGCCCAUAAAGUGCCUGUAAGCUUUUUGCGAAGAGUAGUUGUCAGAGCCCCAAAUGUAUCGCCAACGGUCGUGAACAUUACUGAGGGCAAUUUGCUCCGAGACCACCUGCAACUCCAGAUACUGAUCAUAAGCUUGCUCAGAAAUAGGCAAAUGGAAAAAACCAGCGAACUGAUUCUGCUCUUUAGCUUCUUUGAUAGAUAGCUUUGUGUUUUUGACAAAAGAGAAUAGUUCUGGAAAUUUUUGUCUUGGGAUGUUCUGGCUCCACUGAUCAUCCCAGAACGAAAUUGAUCUACCAUUGCCAAUGACUGGGUGCGCCAGGCCCUUAAAGUUGGGGAGGAGCUUGAUCAUGCUCUUCCACCAGAAAGAACCAAUGUUUCUAUGACCUGGCAGUCCACUGGACAAAUAGUAAUUAUUCUAGAUGAGAUUCACCCAUGGUAAGUCACUGUUAUUGAAGAAUUUAUGCAAAAAUUUGAUCAGAAGAGCCUCGUUUUGAGUUUCAAGGCGAAGCACCCCUAGCCCGCCAUUCACUUUUCUCUGAGUAACCGAAACCCAAGCAAUCAGAGGCGAUUUCUUGGAACUAAGGUCAUUCCCUCUCCACAGACAGUUUCUCCUGAAGAUGUCUAUUUGCUUAAUGAUGGUUUUAGGAAUCUUGAGCGUACACAUAAAGAAGGUUGGCAGAGCUGAAAAGACUGAAUUUACCAACACCAAGCGCCCAACUUGGGAUAAAAAAUUUGAAGAGCAUGACAAUCUCUUUUCAAUCCUUUGGAUAAGAGGCAGAAAGUGCUGCUUUCUGGAUUUCGCAAGGCCCAAAGGCAAUCCAAGAUAGGUGAAUGGCAUUCCUCCAAUCUGGCAGUUGAGAGUUCGAGAGAGGAUCUCCAUCUUCUCUGAAGGCACAUUUAUUGGAUACAUAUUUGAUUUGUUAUAGUUUACCUUUAGGCCAGUAGAAGUCUCAAAUGAGUUGAGAAUUGCCUUAAGGAAGAAAAGUUGCUUUGGACAAGCCUCUAGAAUCAAAAGAGUAUCAUCUGCAUACUGAACAAUCGGGAAAUCCAGGUCACCAAUAGCAGGUAAAGGAAGCUUAAGAAGAUUCAAAAGCCUGGCCUUAUUAAUAAUGCUCUGAAGAAGGUCAGCCGCCAAGACGAACAACAGUGGCGAAAGAGGGUCUCCUUGUCUAAUACCUCGCUUGCAAUGGAAGGAUUUACCAGGGACGCCAUUGAGCAACACCGAAGAAGUGCCAGAAAGAAGGAUGCUCCGAACCCAAUUAACCCACUUAGGACCAAAGCCUUUGUGGAUCAAAACUUGAAGAAUCAGUUCAUGCUCAACAGUGUCAAAAGCCUUUUCGAAGUCUAGUUUAAGCACAAUGAUUUCUUUCUUUGAGGAGUGGCAUAAGUGAAUGUAUUCAUAAGCCCAAGCCAAGCAAUCCUGAAUAGAUCUGCCCUUGAUGAAACCAUAUUGGUUCCUAUGAAUUAAUCGAGACAUGAACGACUGCAGACGAUUUGCCAAAAGCUUCAUUAGGAUUUUCAUACUAUUGUUUAAUAACGAAAUUGGCCUAUAAUCUCCCACCUUCUGCGUAUUCUCCUUCUUCGGGAUCAAAACAAUGAAGGACCCAUUAAUACUUCUUAGGCAAACUUCACCAUGAUAGAAUUUUUCACAAAGAUCAUAGAAGUCUUGAGCAAUGAUAUGCCAACACUUCUUAAUGAAGUUGGUAUUGAAACCAUCAGGACCAGGAGAUUUAUCCGAAGGUAAUGAUUUUAUAAUGCUGUCAAUCUCCAUCUUAGUGAACGGGGUGUCUCACUCGUGAAGCUCCUCAUUACGGAUUAAAAGCUCUGGAAGGUCAAAAUCAAUGCCUGAGAAAUCAGACGAUCCCAAUCUGCACUUGAAAGCAUCCCAGAGGAGACCAGAUUUAUGUUCGUGCUCAAAAUGUAUGACCCCAUUCUCGUCAGUCAAAGUGGCAAUUGAAUUUUUCCUGUGUUUAAUGGUGGCAUGAGCAUGGAAGAAACGAGAGCCAAUGUCACCAUCAGUUACCCACUUAAUAGUCGCCCGCUGCUUCCAAUAAAUUUUCUGAAUGUUCAGUAGAUCGGCCACUUUUUGCUGCAGAAUAUCUCUGAAAUUCCAUUCCUCAAUAGAAAGAUCCCGAUGCUCUUCCAUAUUGUCUAUAAGUUCAAUUAGUAGCUUGAUGUUUUGCACCGUUUUAUCAAUUUUUGGCAGCGAUCUCUACCAAUCCUUCAGAACCUUUCGAACACACUUAAACUUGGCAGUCAGGUUUUUAGCCUUGUCAGGAAGGCAAGGGAGCCCAGCCCACGUGGUUUGAAAGAAAUUCAAGAAACCGUCCAAUUCGAGCCAGAAGUUUUCAAACCGAAAAAUUUUAGGUUUAGGGAUCUUGGACUUAAAAGAAACCAGGCAAGGAACAUGGUCAGAGAUGUCUCCCGGCAUCGUUUUGGCACAGAAAUCUGGAUAAACGAUCGACCAUUCUUGAGAGAUGAAAAACCAAUCCAGCCUCUGAAGAAGGGGUUCCCUCUGUCUGUUCGACCAGGUGUAUGCUAAGCCGUGAAGGGGAAUUUCAAUCAAAUCUAAGUUGCUUAUUGCUUCAUUGAACUUCAGCAUUAAGUUAAUAUCACCCCCAGCCUUAUUUCUGUCUUUAGGCCGACGAAUUAAAUUUAAGUCCCCAACAAGGAGCCAAAGCUUGUCAGAAGGCAUAGAAAUAUUAUGCAGCCAAUUGAGGAAAUCGAUUUUCCCUUGUGAAGUACAAGGAGCAUAAACGUUUGUAAUAAUCUAGGAGCAAGCCGAUAAAUUUGAAGUAAAUUCCACCGACUGAGCAUAAUCAUUUUGGAAGAUAACAUUUCCUGAAAGUUUUGAGCUUUUCCAGAUGAUAACUGAACCUCUCGAGUUCCCCACCGAGGGAACAAAAGCAAAUGAAUCAAAUUGAGAAGGACAGAAGUUUUUUAGGUAAAACGAAUCAAAGAGAUCCUUUUUUGUUUCUUGUAGACAGAUAACAUCGCAUCUAGAAUCCCGAAUUGAACAACGAAUGGCGUUCCAUUUAAUAGUAGAAUUAAUUCCUCUAACAUUGUAACUCAGCACAGACCACUCCAAAUAAUUAACAUCAUUUAAGUUACUCAUUGAGUAAACUAGAAGUUUUUGAGCCAGAACGAUACCCAAAACAGUGGGUAAAAUAAGUGUCAGUCGGCAAGCAAAAGAGGAACAUAAAGGUAAAACAAGCACGCACAGGUGCCAGCCAAGUAUCUAGAAGUCCUGGGAAGACCCAACCCAUAAACAUGCACACCCAAAAGUUAGAGGGGCAAAAACCAUAGCCCAGACCACCCGCCUUCCACCUAGUGCUUAUCUUGCUUAUCCUCAUCUGUUGAGCCAUCAGUCCUCUCAUCAUCCGAAUCCUUUCUGCUUGUCCUAUGCUGGCCAACAGAUCCCACAGCAGAUUUCUUCUUCUUCAAACGGCGCUCAGAUAAGUCGUCAUAUGACAAGUUGCAGAACCCGCUCCCCAGAUUCUGAAUCACCUUGGAGGACAGCAAGGGUGGGCCAUCAAAGUUAUGCUGGCACAUGAGACAAUUCCUUUUUGGGCAGGCCCCAUUCCUGAACCCACCAUGUGAUUCCUUCAAGCGCUUACUUCUUCUGAGUUCAGACUCCACAAUGAUAGGUGCCGGGGCAUCACAACUGUCCGAUUCUUUGGAGCUCUCAGAAAGGACAUCAUCUAGAAGUUUAACAUUCGGACAUUCCUUAGGGAUGGCAAAAGGUAAAGAUUUCAGUCCCGGUUCUAGCAGAGUUGAGGGAAUUGCUGAUAACAGAAAGGACUUCUACCAACUGAAGGCUUCAGGUUGAAGCAGCUUCGAAAGAAAAAAGGGUGCCCAGUUCUUUGCGAUAUCCACCGAGGGGUCAGUUGACCCAGCAGGUGCAAAGUACAUGGCCCAAAGUCUGGAGAACUGGGCAGCUCUUUUCCUCUCCUCAAACAUCUGAAACACAGGGUCAGGUUGCCAUCCCUGAUUGACCAUGAAAUUCAUCUCUAAAUUCUGGAAAUGGUUAUUAUUUGGAUCCCCAACUUGGGCCUAAUGCGGCAAAUCAGCAAUACCAGGGACAGGGUCCACUUGAAGCGCCGGGCCAUCAACCUCCUGAGGCCCAUUGAAUGCAGCAAUAUUGACAGCAAGCCCAUCCCCUGGCAAAAUAGGACCAUUCUCAACAACAUGGCCAUUCUGUAGAGGUGCAACUUGACCAGCGCCAAAGGAACUAUCCGACGACAAGCCUGAGUGCUGAUUACUGAGUUGAAGCUCAUCCGGUUGAAUGGGUUGCAAAUCAGGCUGAAAGGGCUGCAGAAUCUGUUGAUUGGGUUGAACAUUUUCGAUCCACUAGUCCCAAUCCCCAUGGGCAUUGUCAUCCUGAAGAGCCGGCAAAUCACCACCCGCAUUCCCCGACGGGAAAUUUAGGUCAAGCCCAACCGGGGGCAUUGGCUGACCCAGACCGAAGAAAACCAAGGGAAGUUGCUGACCAUCUUCCGGGGCAGGAGGAAUAGGGUCCUCAUCCUGAGCCUGCCCGCCAAGCAUGUUUUGCUGAAUAAUCUCACACUGAACAGUCCAAGAAUCACCAACGAAGCCCUCAGCCUCCAAAAAAACAAUGAAUUGAGGAACUUCUUCAAAGGAAGUGACACGGACACGAAGCAAGGUUCUAGAAACAUUACUCCGAUCCUCCUCCCAAAGAAUCAACCUGCAAACGACCCAAUGGCUGCUUGCAAGUACUCCGAGGAACAGUAAUCCAGGGGAAACCCCAGUAGCAUAAGCCAACAAUCAUGGUUGAACAAAAGAGCCCGAUGAUUCCAGGCGUCAUUGUGGCGAACAUCAGUGAAAGUAGCAUCUAAGUAUUGUUGGGGGCCAAGCAGAACCAAAUUGUCUCGCUCCAAAACACUGCGAAACUGCACUAGCACCUGGCCCAAAUGAGAGCGCUGGAUGGCUCUAACCCCAACCCUUCGAUGUUCCACAAGGUACUCUCUGACCACAUCUCUGACCGCAGGGAACAAGACCUCAUGCUCAGGUAAAGGAUGAAUAUUGAUAAUCGCCCAUUCUUCAUGCAUUGGCGGUAAUCUCUGCAAGACUGACCUGACAAUGAUUUCAAGAUGCUGCACCGCCGAAGCGUGGAAGCCUGGCGGGAGGAAAGGCUCCGGGUCGACGCGCCGGUACGCCAUAGCAAGAUUUUCCGAAGAUCGCCGGUGAGCCGAAGGCAAGGUAGCGGUUUGGGGUUUUGGUGAAGUCACACCCAGCGAGAGCUCCAAGGACGCUACGGGCGCCUGUUCGUAUUUUUUAAUAAGACCGCCCUGGCAAACUCCUCGAAGCAGGCAAAUAUGGGAGGGGCCCCAGCCGUCAGAGACCCCGGGGUAGGGCGGAACCAGGAGCCGUAAACCGGGAAAUGAGACGUCCCUUCCAAAAGGCAAUUGCUUUCAAAGGAAGGGAACGAAGCGAGGGGAAAUCCGAAUACUGUUUUCUUAAGAUUGCAAAACAAUUCCAAAUGCCCCUUAACUUUACAAUAGUGGCAGAGAAACACUGAGGGAGCCGCACCAGACGAACCAGCCUUCACAGAGAUGGAAGAGGCCGAAGGGCCAGGCCCAGGCAUGAAAGGCCCAUUGCGCAGAAUGGGCCGCCAAUGAAGCUUACGGAUCCUGAGGAGACCAGCAUUUGAAUUUGAAAAAGGGCGAUCAUCAUGCCCCUGACGACCACGUCUAAUCAAGCUUCCGUUGUGCCUAGGAAAACUCACCGAAGAAGAAAGCCUGAGAGGAGGAUUGCUUAUCGGGGUUCCCGAGGACUUAGCAAAGACUGAAUACUGCGAGCCCCGAGCCCCUGAAGAGGUUCCCAAUCUUUUGAAGACAGAUAGCCUUGGCUCCUCCAAAUUACCAGGGAAGCGAGGAGACAACCUACGUCGACGAAUUGGAACAGCGUUCGCACCAGUCAACGGCGGAAUCCUAACAAUAUUAGCAAACGAUUUUUUUCUUGCCCUUAACAAACCACCAGUUGGCAUUUUCCUCCUGAAGAAAUAAUCUGUAUUCGUAGAUCCAAUUUCGUCCACCAAAGUUCCACAAGUUGAAGAAAGCCUUGAAUUCCGGAUGAACAAUGCAUUUAGAAUUAUAAAUGUGAAAACCAACAGCCUUGGAGGAAACUGUGAAGCGGAACACCCGAUCAGCAAGCUGAGAAACAUUGAAUCCCCUGGCAAAACCACCCAGAGCAGCUUGAAGAAGAUGACUAACUGAAACCGAGUCAAGCUUGAAGAUGCAGCGGCCAAACGAGACCACCAGCCAAAAGGCCGACGGACAAUCUGGACUUCUAGAACACACAGGGGAGGCAAACCGGCGCCUGACAUCAUCUUCGAAUAGCAAACCCGGUCGAAAGUCCAGCCUUGACAAAUCCAUCACGCAAGAUGAAGAAGACCAAGAAGAGGGGAAUGGAAAAGCACAGACGCGAGGUGAUACAAACUCGAGAGACAACCAAAGACGAAGAGGAUGCAGCUAGCAGACAAGAGCCCACCGUCAGGAUCCUCCACGGAACAAGCACACGACCGACCCCAAUGAAGCCAUCAGCGAAGCAGGAGCCUGUACCCUGGGCGGUUAGGCCGUUCCUAGCUAGACACGAUGUUGUUGGCGAGAAUAAUAAUUUCAUCAUGAUGGAUGAUUUCGUCCAAGAUGUGGUUGAUGUCCAGGGUGAAAAUGAUGGGGAGCUUAGUGAGGAGACCUUGGAGGUCCUCGAGGAUGCAUAGUUCUUUGAUGAAUUCAUUAACCACCUCAAUAAUGAUGACCUUCUAUUUGGGAGCCCAUGGUGGAUAGAGAGCCUCAAAGAAUUGAAACAUGUGACAAUGGGUCUGCUCUAUAAGGAUUGUCCAAAGGAAUGGAGGAUGUUGUAUUUUGAUCUCCAAAUGUGGAUGUUGAAGGGUCUUUUUGGAUGGUCCUACACUAGCUUCAAUGAGUUGCUAAGUAAUCUUGGUUCUGUGCUUCUAAAGGACAAUAAAGUGCUCGCCAACAUUUAUCGAGCGAAGGAGCUAAUAUGGCUAGUGUCACAAAGUCUUCAAAAGAUCCGCUCUUGUCCUAACCAUUGUAGAAUAUACGGGGCACCCAAUAUAUGAGCUUAGGGAGCUAUCCACACCAUGACACGAGUCAAUACAAGAGGAAUGUUUGGUCUCGCGUGGAUGCGAACGACGAGAGAGCCUUGAGUGAGAAAAAGAAGGUGACCAAGAAGAGUAGUGUGAAUUGUUGGACCGGAUCGACGGCGAACAGCGCAAAGAACUCAGUGUAGCGCAGUGCCGCCGGAGCGCGAUCACCACGUCUCAACGGAAGAGAGGACACAGUUGUAUUUUCUGUUGCUGCAACUGUGCAACCUUGCAAAUGCAUUCAACUGGGAAUUAAAACACCCGGAUCCGUCUUCCCCGCUGCACUCAACUGCUGCGAGACGUGCCGUAAUUUCAGCAACGUCCGCGACAUGCACGGCGAGCUAAGUCGCAGCGAAAAAACGCCCUUUGAAGCGGUCACGGCGAGGACUGAGUGCACCCAUCAGUCCGCCCAUGAUUCUACGCUGAAUUACAAAAAUGCACGCGCAAUCUAAAACAAACUAAUGCACCUACUAACAAUAUCCCUGACAAGAUUACAGUGAGGCUACUGCAACAUUUACCCCCCAUAAUCUUGUUAAUCUGCAAUUCGAAUUAUUCCAAGCUGUCUCCUCAACUCUGUGAACCGAAUUCUUCCCAGAGGCUUCGUCAAGAUAUCUGCUAGCUGAUCAUCUGAACUUACAUGUUCAAUAUCAAGAACACCACUGCUCACACACUCCCUAAUGUAAUGAUACCGGGUGUCGAAUAUGUUUACUUCUCUCAUGGUACACAGGAUUUUUGCUCAGUUCUUGUGCCGACCGGUUGUCUAUCAAAAGCUUCAAACUCUUCUGCUCAGUACCCAGUAGGUCUGCAAGAAGCCGGUUUAACCAAACACCUUGAUAGGCUGCUAUUGCAGCUGCUAUAUAUUCAGACUCACACGAUGAAAGUGAUACUACCUUUUGUUUCUGAGAAGUCCAGGUGAUUAUGUUCGUACCCAGAAAGAAAACUACACCACUAGUACUCUUUCUCUUUACAAGAUCUCCAGCAUGAUCACUAUAUCUGAGUAUCCGAAAAGUUCUGACGCCACCCCUCUUAGGUAUCUACACCCGAGAUGCUUUGUGCCUGAUAUAUAGCGGAUAAUUCUCUUGACAGCAGCCCAAUGUUCUGCAUUUAGUGACUCCAUCAAUCUACUAACCAUUCCCACCGCUACUUUUUGUUCUCGUAGCAGACCUAUUACAGUGCAUCAUUAACAAGGCUCAUCAACUUGGCCUCCUUCAGCUCCCCUUGCCACCCAAAGAUGGGGCUGGAUUUCCGAUUAUACAAUAUGCCGAUGAUACAAUUAUUGUCAUGAAAGCCUCACAAAGGGAGCUUUUCUGCUUAAAAGCUUUGCUCGAGAGUUACGCCCUAUCAACAGGGCUAAUAAUCAACUACGUAAAAUCCUGUUUAGUUCCUAUCAACACUGACAGUAAAAAAACUAAACUUCUUGCUGGUCUCUUUGGUUGCAAGAUUGAAUCUCUUCCCUUUACAUAUUUGGGGCUACCGAUGGGGACAACAAAGCCAAGGGUUGAGCACUAUGGACCCAUUAUGAGCAAGAUUGAAAGGAAGGUAACCUCCAUCUCUUCUAUGUUGUCACAUGCAGGGAGACUUCAACUUGUCAACUCUGUCCUCUCGUCUCUACCAACAUACGCCAUGUGCACCUUACAAGUUCCAGCUGCGGUCUUGGAGUACAUUGACACAGCCAGACGACACUGUUUGUGGCGUAAUUCUGAUAGCAAUGCAAAAUCUAAGCCUCUGGUGGCUUGGAAUAAAUGCACACGACCAAAGAAAAAAGGUGGUCUGGGGGUCAUCAACCUAAGAAGCCAGAACUCGUAUCUCCGAAUGAAAUUUCUUCACAAGCUCUACAACAGGAAACAAAUCCCUUGGGUUAACCUGGUUUGGAAUACCUACUACUCUAACGGCAAGACCCCUCAUGCAUCCAAGUUCAUGGGCUCAUUUUGGUGGAGAGACGCCCUUAAACUUUGUGAUCUCUUCAGAGGAAUCUCCAACUGUAAGGUUGGAGAUGGUAAAACUGUUCUAUUUUGGCAUGAUUUAUGGAAUGACAACAUCUGCAGAAACAAAUUUCCAAGGCUUUUCACCUUCGCAAAAAAUCAAAGCAUUUCGGUUGCUUCCUUUUUGACUUAGGAGAACUUGACAGACAAUUUCCACUUACCCCUUACUGAGCAAGCAAACACCGAGCUGCAACAGCUCCUGGAUGAAGUGCAACAAAUUCGAGAAUCAGUGAUUGAACCAGAAGAGAAAGACUCUUGGAGUUAUAUUUGGGGGAAUAACACCUACUCGUCAACUAAACUUUACCACUACACUUUCAAAAAUGUGAAUCCUCCAAAACCAUUUCUCUGGAUCUGGGAGUCCAGAUGUUCAAACAAGCUUAAAGUCUUCGCCUGGCUACUGUUGAUGGACAUGCUGAACACCAUAAACAUCCUAAAGAGAAAGAACUUUAAGGUGCAAGGCGACAACUACAGGUGUGCUCUUUGUCAACUUCAAAGAGAAGAAACUGCCUUCCAUUUGUUUUUCAAUUGCCCUUUCAGCAAAGACUAUUGGAGACAUCUGAAUAUUCAGUGGAACCACCAUAUUGACUUCUUUGCGACCUUUCAACAAGCCAGGGACUUGCACGGUUCACCAUUCUUUAUGGAGGUCUUUAUCAUAGCAGCUUGGCGAAUCUGGAAGCAAAGAAACAGUUUUAUCUUUGACAGGGGACGACCAUCUUUCAUUGGCUGGAAAAAAGAAUUCCGCGCCGAAGCUCUUCUGCAAGCUAAUCGCUUUUCUGAAGAGAAAUCAACUCUUUUCUCCUCGCUUGUGAAUUCCUAUAGAUAGGAGAUAGUUUUUUUUCCUGUGCUUUAGUUAGUUUCCUUCUAGUUUAUGUCUUGGGAGCGACUGCUAAUGCUCUUUAUCCGUCUUCUUCUUUAUAUUAAUAUAUAUCUACCACAACAGGGGCUUCCCUUGCUGUACAUUUUCAAAAAAAAAGUAGGACAGGUCAGGUCUGGUAUUUACCAAAUACCUCAAGCUAACAACAAUACUCCUAUAUCUAGUUGCGUCCAAACUGUGUUUAGGUUUACCUGGUGUCAGUUUCAGAUGUUGCUCCAUUAGAGUGUCAACUGGAUUACAACAUGUCAUACCACAGGCUUCAAUUAUUUUCUCUGCAUAGGCACUCUGGCCAAUGGUUACUUCACCUGGAUUUUGUUUUACUUCAAUGCUGAGAUAGUAACUCAGUAGACCCAGGUCACUCAUACUAAAGGUAGCCAUCAUCUGCUGUUUGAAAACAGCUAUGCACUCUCUGUCAGGGCCACAUAUAAUAAGGUCAUCCACAUACAGCCCAACUAGUAGCAAACUCAUUUCCACCCCUCUUCUGUAAACUGCAUGCUCUUUAAGGCUCCUUUGAAGCCCAGUUGACCAUUUCAAGAUCAAGUCUGGCAUUCCAAGCUCUAGGAGCCUACUUCAGUCCAUAUAGAGCCUUUUUUAGUCUUAGAACCUUUCUUUUUGAAUUUGAAUCAGAAAAACCUGGUGGUUGGUUUACAUAUACUUCUUCCUUGAGAUCCCCAUUCAGAAAGGCUGACUUUACAUCCAUGUGGUGUACUUCACAUUCACCUUGAGCUGCAAGAGUCAAUAGAAUCCUUACUGUUUCUAGCCUUGCCACAGGUGCAAAAACUUCCUCAUAAUCCACUCCAUGAAUCUGAGAAUAACCCUUUGCAACUAAUCUGGCCUUACGUUUUACCACUUCACCGGCUGGGUUCCUUUUCACCUUGAAGACCCACUUCAGCCCAAUAGCCUUGUGGUCUUUUGGAAGAUCAGCAAUUUCCCAGGUAUUGUUCUUCACUAUUGACAUCAUCUCCUCUUCCAUGGCUUGCCUCCAGCAAGCUUGUUCAAGAGCCUAAUCAACACUAGCGGGCUCAUCUGCAGCCAGCAUACAAACCCCACUAUAUUCAAAAUCCAGAUCUUGGUAUGUUGAGUCAUACAGAUCGUUCAAGCUUAUGUACCUGUAGACCCCUUGACUCGAGAAGCUUGAAUCAUGGGAAGGUGGAGUUACUGAUCCCUGGUUAUGUGUGGAGCCGGGAGCUGAAAUGGGAGUGGAAUUUGGUGUUUAUGGCUGACCCAUCUCACUUCCCUGUUCAACUGAGUUCACUCCCCCUAAGUUUUGAUCAGAAGAAAUUUCAGUUUCAACAAUUUCUUCUAUUGUCGUCUCUCUGUCAGUUUUAUCAUAAUGAACCUCAAACAUGUCUGGAUCUUGACUGUUUUUUUUGAAAGGAAGGGGCAAAAGACUUGCCGCUCCGAUAUAUAUUAGAUUAGAGAAGAAAGAACGGGAGAAUACAAAACCAAAGCAACUGGAGGGAAGAAGAAAAGAAAGAAAAAAUAAAAGGAAUUAAAAAGAGUUUAAAAAGAAAACAAAGAACCACUAGUCAAGUCCAACAAGACCUCAGCUACUAGCAAUAUCCUUCACUGCAAGAGCCACUGGUUCUACGCUUCUAUGCUGACUUUGAAAAAUUAUGUUAUUUCUUUCCAACCAUAAAUUCCACCAAAAAUGAAUUAGCAGACCGUCGAAACAUCUUCUUGACUGUCUGUUGCAAAGGCUACGCAGACCCGUCCACCAAUCAUACAAAGAUGUGGAACUGGGAAUCCCAGACAGGAAAGGAAGGUUGGCCCAAGACAACACUUUGCUCCACACCUCUCUACUAAAGGGGCAAUCCUUGCAUAAGCGGAGAAUUGUUUCUGGGGCCGAGUUGCAGAGACAACAUAUUGGGUUGCAAGGCCAACCCCUUUUAUGAAGGUUAUCAGCAGUUAGGAUUCUCUUAUGUAGUAGUGUCCAAGCAAAAAAGCGGCACUUCGGUUCCACAUUAGCCUUCCAAAUGGGACAGAGAUUCAUUUUACUGUAAUUGGAUGAGAAUUGGAUUUUGUAUGCACUGCUUGCACUGUACUGCCCAUCUGUCGUCCAUCUCUAAGAAAUGGUGUCCUCCAAACCAUUAAGCUUCUGCAUGUUACCUAUGGCCUGCCAUAGAGAGACGAACUCUCUUAGCUCCCCCUCACCCGUGUAUGGGGAGCAUAAUCGUAUCCAAUUGUUGUUAGUGAGCGCUUUGUCAACCGUGAUGUUCUUCCUCUUUGCCUUCUUGAAUAGAGAUGGUGCAAUGUUCUUAGGGGCUUGGCCUUGGAUCCAGCUAGAUUUCUAGAAUUCAGCUAUCUUUCCAUUGCCAACCGUCACAGUUGUGGAAGCAUUGAAGAGAUCUUCAUCAGUUUUGUCACAAGGAAGCUUCAUGGCAGUCCACGCCCUGUCUUUGCUCUUCCAUCGCAGCCAUAGCCAUCUUAGUCUUAACCCCCUCGCAAAACGAUCAAGAUCCAGAAUUCCAAGACCCCCCUUGUUCUUUGGGAGGCAAGUGAUGGGCCAGUUGAUAAGGCAGUGACCCCCGUUGCAAGCAUCUGGAUUGCUCCCUUUGCACAGUAAGUUUCUUCUCAUUUUGUCAAUUGCUUGCAACAGCCAUUUUUGAGGUGGGAAAACCGUUAGGUGGUAGGUUGUUUGUGCGGAUAGCACCGAUUUUACUAGAGUUUCCCUACCAGCCUUGGACAUCAGUUUGCCUUUCCAGCCAGCCAACCUGUUAUUAAUUUUUUCGAUUAGUGGUUGGAGAUCAAUCCUUUUUACAUUCCGGUAAUGAAGGGGUAACCCAAGGUACUUCCCGGGUAGGCUAGUGUAUUUUCCAGGAAACACAUCCAUUAGCGUUGGCCAUAAUGAUGCUGGAUAUCGAAAUGGGAAAAUUUCUGUUUUGUCAUAGUUGAUCUUUAGCCCUGAACACCCCUUGAACGCGUUGAGAAUCCCUUUCAGCACCUCCAAGUCUAAUUUGUCAGCUCUAACAAACACGCCCGCAUCAUCCGCGUAGAGAGAGCACCGAAGCUUAGCCCCUCUAGGCAGCACCUGUUCAAGCAGUCCAUCUUCAGUGGCCUUCUCAAUCAUCCGAUGUAGCGGGUCCAUCGCUAAAAUGAAAAGGAAGGGAGACAGAGGGUCCCCUUGUUGCACCCCCACGCCUGUGUUUGAUUGCAUUUGAAUGUUGCCCAUUUAUAAUUAUUCUUGAGGAGGAUGAUCCCAUGAUUUCAGCUACCCAAUUGCGCCAUUUCUGGGAGAACCCGCAGGCCCUUAACACAUCCAAGAGAUAUGCCCAAUUCAGGGUGUCGAAAGCUUUGGAGAUGUCGAGCUUGACAAAAAGAGCUGGAUUACCUUUUUUUAUGCAGAUUCAUGAUCACCCUUUGCAUGUAUAUAAAGUUGUCAUGAAUUGAUCGGUUCUGGAUGAAGGCGUUCUGAGCGUUGGAGAUAAUUUCGUUCAUUCUUGGAGCAAGCCUAUUUGCCAUGAUUUUUGUUAUAAUUUUCAUGAAGCUAUUGAUCAGGCUGAUUGGCCUAAACCUAUCAAUUCUGUCAGCAUUUUCCCCCUUCGGUAUGAGGAUGAUGUUUGCUUCGUUGACCAGAUGCAGACUUUUGGAUCUAUGUUGGAAAAAAUCAUUUAUUGCCAUGGAAAGGUCAUUUUUGAUCAACUCGAAGCAGCAUUUGUAGAACAGGCCAAUGAACCCAUCCAGCCCGGGGGCCUUUUCAUAUUGAAGCCCCAUCACAACGUCCUUGAUUUCACUGUCAUCAAUCAAGUUGUCCAGCUCAGAUAACUCAAAAGGAGCAUACCCCAGAUGGUCCCAAUGAACAGCACUACUCCUACCUGUCGUGCCUAGUACCUGGCCGAAGUGAUGUUGUACCUCGUUCAUUUUGUCUUCCUGACUCGUCAACAGUGUGCCAUCUCGAAUUAGCGAUCUGAUUAAAUUUUUCCUUCUUCUGUUAUUGGCCGCUAAGUGAAAGAACUUAGUGUUAGCAUCGCCCAACCGCAUCCAAGUAAGUCUGGAAUGUUGUCUUGCACAUGACCUCUGAGCGGAGGCAAUAUCCAGAAUCUUGAUUUUAAGAGUCCUCCUGAAUUCCAAUUCUUCGGAGGAGAGUUGUCUAAUCUCUUGUGCUUUCUCCAGAAGAGUGAGGAUGAUCUGAAUGAUAGCCAUCUGCACUUUGAAGUUGCCAACUGUAUUGCGUCUCCAGGCCAAUAGAGCCUUGGCCGAGCAAGUCAUCUUUACGUGAAGUCGAAGGAUGGCAUCAUCAGUGUUUACUGUAGAAUUCCAUGCUUGAUGGACUACCUCGUUGAACCCCUCAAUCUGUGGCCAGAAAGAUUCGAAUCUAAACCCCCGGUAGAAGUUAACCGAAGAGUGGCCUUGCAUUAAAAGCGGGCAGUGGUCCGAUGUCAUGGUGCACAUGGAGUGCAGGUCAGCCGAGGGAUACAGGUCAUGCCACUCUGUUGUCGCAAAGAAUCUGUCAAUCCUAGUCAUGGUAGGGUCAACUUGCUCAUUUGACCAGGUGAAUGCUCUAUCGGUGAGAUCUAGCUCUAAGAGAUGCAGAUCAUCAAUUAUGCUAUUGAACUGCCUCAUCACCCUUCUGUUGAUUGAUCCUUUGUUUUUCUCCCUUGCUCUCCUGAUCAUGUUGAAUUCACCUAAUAACACCCAUUCUGGUCUCACCAUGGUUUGGAUGUUACGGAGCUCAGAGAGGAAUAUCAUUUUUUCAUUGUCCAGUUGGGGUAAGUAGACACCCAUGAGGUCCCAAACCUCAUCCACCAAUCUAGAAUUGAUCCUGACUGACAGUGAAUAGGCUGAUGAACAUGGUAAGAGAACCAUGUCAAAAUAAUCCGAAUCAGCAGCGAUUAGGAUUCCGCCCGAGGCGCCCAGAGAAGGUAAGUGAAAAGUUUGGUUUGCAAGCUUGGCACCUACAGUUUCCUUUAAUAAUACAUUUGACCAGCUCGAGAUCUUUGUCUCUUGAAGGCAAACAAUGGAUGCGCCAGUGGACAAAAUUGUAUGCCUUACGCUUUCUCUCUUAGCGUGGUCGUUUAACCCCCAUACAUUCCAAGAAAAAUAGAGCAUUUCAGAUUCAUAAGGUAAUAAAAACCACUCUAGUUGAGACAGUACGAAGCCACCAAUCAUAUCUCAGCCAGGAACCCUGCUGCAGCGAACUAACAGGAAAUAAUGCUUUCAGACAAGGAUUCGCCGAGCCAAUAGAUUGCCCAGACCCAAACGACAAACUGAAAAAACAGAGAUACAAAGGCAUGCCAGGGACCCUAUAGCACUGCCCAGACGCACUAAAACCAGCAGAGAUUAAACAGCGAACAAAGGGAAGGCUGAGCCCGGAACCGCGCCGAUAGCGCCUAGCCAUCUGAGUAAACAUUGAUCUCCAAAAGAACCACCAACAGGCCUAGUCAAGGAGCUCAGAUCCCCUUUGCCUUCACGACUUUGAUGGCCGGCACCACCUUUCGACCCUUCUUUUUAGACUUCACUGCCUUCACAUUGUCUUGAUUUAUCAGCUCCAUGAUUGCCUCCAUUUGCUUCUUGGAGAGAGGCCUUGUGAAUAGACAUGUGAUCUGCUCAAAUGAAUCAUCAAAGUCAGUAAAGCCUGAAGAACUAGAGCGGUCUGAUUUUUUUACUGCAGAAUUGUUAAGUUUGGCGAGUAUGAUUUCCUGGGCUUUGGAUAUCGCAUCCUGGUUACUCCUAGUCUUAAUGCAUUUCUUCGCAGCCAGCCUAACACUUGAUCUUCUAGUGGUGGGUUGGUUCUGAAAUUUUAAUGGAUGUGAUGUGGUCGUGCUACUUUUCGGCGGGGAUGGAAUCAAUGGUGGCUCUGGUGGAUUUGUUAUUGCCGCGAUGAAGUCGAGCAACUGAGUAUUGUCGGCCGAGCUAUUCCCUGUCCUCAGAGCAGGAGAAGCUCUUAAGGUUUCAUGAUUAUCACUAUCAGCUGGUUGAAAAUCUGGUUGAUUGUCACUAUCGACUGGUUGAAAAACUGGGCCGGGUAAGUCAUGGAUAAAUGAGGCACCCAUUAGGCCGACCCGAUCAGCAGCAGGCAUGUUGUAAUCUAUAGCUUGAUUAUCAUUCACAAGUUGAGAGCCUAAAAACUCAAUCGGUUGGACAGCUAGGGCCUUGGCUAGAGUAGAAGUGUUUAGGUUCACGCUAGUGGAACACGCCAGCACACUGUCUAAACUGUUGUGAAUUGUGGCAAAAACAUUAGUGAGAUCAAUAGUAUUGGUUACCUUGCACUUGGAGGUAGCAGGGUCGUGCGAGGUUUCCUGGUUGUCACCGCCAAUAGAGCUUGACUUGCUUCCAACACCAUCAGUUAGCCCCAGACUGUCCUCCUGCGGUCAAACAACAGAAACAAUGGUGUCUGCAAAUGAAACAAUUUUGACCUUCGCCUUGGGCACCCAGCGAGAUGACGGUGUCAUCCCCAGACCAUGACGACGAAAAGGAGUUGAAUGCCUAUGCUUGUCGUUGGAGCUAUAUCAGUCAUCCAUCCCCCCCGCAUCACGACGAACGCGCCCAACCGGAAAGGCUACGAUGUCUACGGUUGCCGCUGUGUCUGUCACGCUGAAAGUCCCCUUCAUCAUCAUCGUGGCCCCAGUCACGGCGCACAGUCUCUCUACCUCUGAAAGCUUCUGCACGUUCUAUUUUUUCGCCCACUGAGUCCGGGGCGCCAUAGUUCCAAACAAACUCUCUGUGCUGCUUGCGAUUAGGAGGCCCCCUGGAUCCCCUCCCAUGGAGGAACGAGAGGUCUUCCACAACCUCGAUGUGAUUGCGAAGGGUGUAAACAUGGCCAGCUUUCAGAUCAGAAGGUUCAUCAUGAUGAGCACCAACAAGUGGUAAGGGGGUGUUGAUUGGUGGAAGCUCCCUGUCUAGUUCUAAUAGCGUUAGCUGGACCUCUUUGGGGAUGUCACAAGGGUCAGAGCACCAUGCCCAGAGAUCGAAAGACCUAGUGCGCUCUCUAUGCCUUGUGCGCUCUUGCACAUAGUGGAUUGCACAGCUCUUGCCCAAGGCCUUCGAAGCCACUUCUUCCCCCCAACAGUGAACCAGAAUCCAUUCAACCCGGACUUUAACUCUAAAUUCAAGGUUUGUUUUCCUAGCAUAGUUGUCCUCUGACCAAUCACCAAAAUGGAAAAUCCGGCCACGAUACGAGACCGAUCUCCUAUCUAGCGCCCAUAGCUUCGACCUUGGAUCCGGGAAGAUGAUAAAGAAUUGCUCAGGAAAGUGCUUGACUAGUUGAUACUGACCGUAGUGAAGGUUGAACUUCUCCCUCAGCAUGUCUCCUGCAGAUAAUGUGUCAACCUCAUGACUGUUGCCGUCGAAGGAGCAAACUACAGCCUUGUCAAUCAGGUCGUCUCUGCGGCGACGGAUGGAGCCGGUCGCCGAGACCGAACAGAAGGCACGCGAUGUCCUUCCCCGAGGAUCUCUAGGGUAGCGAGCCUCCAUUCAUUGGCCUUCCUGAACAGCCUGGAGGAAGGAUUUCUUGUGUAUGAGGGGCAGUUGACUGAGCGGAGCCUUCCGGGGUUGCUCCUGGUACUUAUGGAGGUCGUCGGGCCAUAGCAGCAGCUCAUGGUAGGUAGAGCUCUUUGAUGGAUGCUCGGAUGGUUUAGGAUUAUAGCGAGCAACAUUGAAUGUCCCCUGGGAGCUUUUCUGGUUGCAGGACCUCGCCCGGUGUCCAAAUUGUAGGCAAUGCCAGCAGCGCGUAGGAGCCGAGCAGCAAAAAGCGAGAUGUUCUGGUGAGAGACAGUUGUAGCAUUUACCCUUGAGAUUCAAUUUGAAAAGACUGGUGCCCUUCAUGUCAAAUUGAUGUUUUUGCGGAGCUCUCUCAGGAGCCAUCAAGUUCUUGCGCCACCAGUACCGCGGCCUGACCACAGACCAACCCCCUUCGUUGACAUCCGGAGCAGCAAGAUAUGGCUGUCCAUUCAUACGCGACGCAACAUUGAGACCUUCAGCACGUCGAUGGGACAAAACGCUGCCUGAAUUCAAAGCCCGAUCCGCCUUGCAGGAAUGCUGGAAGCCCGACGAGCAGUCUGCUUCCCACUUGGCUUUUUUAGUCGCCAGGAUACUCGACAUUGAAGUCUGACGUUGUGGAUCUCCAUGUACCGCCUGCACUGGGCGUGAUUCUGCUGUGGUUCUUGAGAUUAGAUCCAAAUUGGUUGUUGAAUAAGAGCCAUCGCCGGUCGCGAUGGUGAAAGUCGCCUAGAGGGGGGUGAAUAGGGCGAAUCUGAAAUUUACAAACUUAAUCACAACUACAAGCUGAGUUAGCGUUAGAAAUAUAAACGAGUCCGAGAGAGAGGGCGCAAAACAAAUCACAAGCGAAUAAGGAGUGUGACACAUGGAUUUGUUUUACCGAGGUUCGGUUCACGCAAACCUACUCCCCGUUGGGGUGGUCACAAAGAUCGGGUCUCUUUCAACCCUUUCCCUCUCUCAAACGGUCCCUCGGACCGAGUGAGCUUCUCUUCUCAAUCAAACGGGAACCAAACUUCCCCGCAAGGACCACCACACAAUUGGUGUCUCUUGCCUUGGUUACAAUUGAGUUGAUCGCAAGAAAGAAUGAGAGAAAGAAGCAAUCAAAGUGCAAGAGCUCAAAUGAACACAACAAAUCUCUCUCACUAAUCACUAAAGCUUUGUGUGGAGUUGGGAGAGGAUUUGAUCUCUUUUGUGUGUCUUGUAUUGAAUGCUAGCUCUUGUAAGUAGUUGGAAGGUGGAAAACUUGGAUGCCUUGAAUGUGGGGGUGGUUGGGGUAUUUAUAGCCCCAACCACCAAACUUGACCGUUGGUGGAGGCUGCUGUCGAUGGGAGCACCGGACAGUCCGGUACGCCAGCCACGUCACCAGGCCGUUGGGUUCCGACCGUUGGAGCUCUGUCUUGUGGGCCCGCCUGGCUAUCCGGUGGUGCACCGGACAGGCCCUGUAGGCUGUCCGGUGUGCCACCCGCGCGUGCUCUGCUCCUCUGCGCGCGCAGGCACGCAUUUAAUACGUUGCAGUCGACCGUUGCGCGCGAAGUAGUCGUUGCUCCGCUGUCACACCGGACAGUCCGGUGUGCGCCGGACACUGUCCGGUGACUCACCAGACAGUCUGGUGAAUUAUAGCGGAGCAGAUUCCCGAAGCUGGCGAGUUCAGAGUUGCUCUCCCUUGGAGCACCGGACACUGUCCGGUGGUGCACCGGACAGUCCGGUGCGCCAGACCAGGGCACACUUCGGUUAUCCCUUGCUCUCUUUGUUGAACCCUUUUCUUGGUCUUUUUAUUGGCCUUUUGUGAACCUUUGGCACCUGUAGAACUUAUAGACUAGAGCAAACUAGUUAGUCCAAUUAUUUGUGUUGGGCAUAUCAACCACCAAAAUCAAUUAGGAAAUAGGUGUAAGCCUAAUUCCCUUUCAAUCUCCCCCUUUUUGGUGAUUGAUGCCAACACAAACCAAAGCAAAUAUAGAAGUGCAUAAUUGAACUAGUUUGCAUAAUUGUAAGUGCAAAGGUUACUUAGAAUUGAGCCAAUAUAAAUUUUCAUAAGAUACACAUGGAUUGUUUCUUUAUUUUUAACAUUUUGGACCACGCUUGCACCACAUGUUUUGUUUUUGCAAAUCCUUUUGUAAAUUCUUUUCAAAGUUCUUUUGCAAAUAGUCAAAGGUAAAUGAAUAAGAAUUUUGAGAAGCAUUUUCAAGAUUUGAAAUUUUCUCCCCCUGUUUCAAUUGCUUUUCCUUUGACUAAACAAAACUCCCCCUCAAUAAAUUCUCCUCUUAGUGUUCAAGAGGGUUUUAAGAUACCGAUUUUGAAGGUGCUACUUUCUCCCCCUUUUGAACAUAAUGAAAUACCAAUUUGAAAAUCAUGAGUUUUAAAAUUAGGUGGUGGUGCGGUCCUUUUGCUUUGGGCUAAUACUUUCUCCCCCUUUGGCAUGAAUCGCCAAAAACGGAUACUUUGAUUGAAAUAUAAGCCCUUUUAAACUACUUUCUUCCCUUUGGCAAACAAAAUAUGAGUGAAGAUUAUACCAAAGACGGAGAGAUGCUCGGAGCGACGGCGAAGGAUGAGUUAUGGAGUGGAGUGGAAGCCUUUGUCUUCGCCGAAGACUCCAAUUCCCUUUCAAUAUACCUAUGACUUGGUUUGAAAUUCACUUGAAAACACAUUAGUCAUAGCACAUGAAAGAGACAUGAUCAAAAGUAUAUUCAUGAGCUAUGUGUACAACACAUCAAAAGAAAUUCCUAGAAUCAAGAAUAUUUAGCUCAUGCCUAAGUUUGUUAAAAGUUUGUUCAUCAAGUGGCUUGGUAAAGAUAUCGGCUAAUUGAUCUUUAGUGUUAAUGUAUGCAAUCUCGAUAUCUCCCUUUUGUUGGUGAUCCCUUAAGAAGUGAUACCGAAUGGCUAUGUGUUUAGUGCGGCUAUGCUCAACGGGAUUAUCCGCCAUGCGGAUUGCACUCUCAUUAUCACAUAGAAGAGGAACUUUGGUUAAUUUGUAACCAUAGUCCCUAAGGGUUUGCCUCAUCCAAAGCAAUUGCGCGCAACAAUGGCCUGCGGCAAUGUACUCGGCUUCGGUGGUAGAAAGAGCUACAGAAUUUUACUUCUUUGAAGCCCAAGACACCAAGGAUCUUCCCAAGAACUGGCAAGUCCCGGAUGUGCUCUUUCUAUUAAUCUUACACCCUGCCCAAUCGGCAUCCGAAUAACCAAUUAAAUCAAAGGUGGAUCCCCUAGGAUACCAAAGCCCAAACUUAGGAGUAUAAACUAAAUAUCUCAAGAUUUGUUUUACGACCGUAAGGUGAGCUUCCUUAGGGUCGGCUUGGAAUCUUGCACACAUGCAUACGAAAAGCAUAAUAUCCGGCCGAGAUGCACAUAAGUAAAGUAAAGAGCCUAUCAUCGACCGGUAUACCUUUUGAUCGACGAAUUUACCUCCCGUGUCGAGGUCGAGAUGCCCAUUGGUUCCCAUGGGUGUUUUGAUGGGCUUGGCAUCCUUCAUCCCAAACUUGUUUAGAAUGUCUUGAAUAUACUUCGUUUGGCUAAUGAAGGUGCCCUCUUGGAGUUGCUUCACUUGAAAUCCUAAGAAGUAUUUCAACUCCCCCAUCAUCGACAUCUCGAAUUUCUGUGUCAUGAUCCUACUAAAUUCUUCACAUGUAGAUUCGUUAGUAGACCCAAAUAUAAUAUCAUCAACAUAAAUUUGGCAUACAAACAAAUCAUUGUCAAGAGUUUUAGUAAAUAAAGUAGGAUCGGCCUUUUCGACUUUGAAUCCAUUAGUGAUAAGAAAAUCUCUUAGGCAUUCAUACCAUGCUCUUGGGGCUUGCUUGAGUCCAUAAAGCGCCUUAGAGAGUUUAUACACAUGGUUAGGAUACUCACUAUCUUCAAAGCCGGGAGGUUGCUCAACAUAGACCUCUUCCUUGAUUGGUCCAUUGAGGAAGGCACUUUUCACGUCCAUUUGAUAAAGCUUAAAGCCAUGGUAAGUAGCAUAGGCAAGUAAUAUACGAAUUGACUCAAGCCUAGCUACGGGUGCAUAGGUUUCACCGAAAUCCAAACCUUUGACUUGUGAGUAUCCCUUGGUCACAAGUCAGGCUUUGUUCCUUGUCACCACACCAUGCUCAUCUUGCUUGUUGCGGAACACCCACUUGGUUCCUACAACAUUUUGAUUAGGACGUGGAACAAAAUGUCAUACCUCAUUCCUAGUGAAGUUGUUGAGCUCCUCUUGCAUCGCCACCACCCAAUCCGAAUCUUGUGGUGCUUCCUCUAUGUCACACCCGGUUUUAGAAGGCAAACCGAAUGAGAACCAUGUACGUGCCAGGAUCAGUUAUUCACGUACACAGCAGUUACAUAAUAUGGACAUCAUCACACAGUGCUCAAAAUAGUAUUAAUAAGGGAAAUAGUCGAUUACAUCAUACGUCUGAGACGUCCAUAUAGUUCUUACAAUAAAUCAAAGUGCGGAAAAGAAACAUAGAUAACCGCGGCCUUCACAGGCAGCCGACUGGGGGGUUGCCGCUAACCCACACCUAGAACUCGUCGUAGUCUUGGAACUCCUGGAAGUCUCCUUCCACAGCUUCAUCUUCGCCUGAGCAGUGGUUGCAAUGCUGACAACCUGGGGAUGGGGGGGGUUUGGUGUGUAGAGCAAGGGUGAGUACACAUCAACAUACUCAGCAAGUAUCCUGUUUGGCUGUAGUGGACUAGCUGUAUGUGGGGGAUAAGUCAAGCAGUUGCUUUUAGUUGGUCAGAUUAUUACUUACUAGUAGAAAGCCAAGUUUUAGCAUUAACCCAAGUUAUUAACCCAAACAUACUCCUUUCCAAACGGAAAGAGUACCACUUACCAGCAUCAUAGUCAUAACCGGAACCAUCGAUCUCAUAACCACCUGUACCAA